RNAcentral lists this long non-coding RNA (65852 nucleotides) under Medicago truncatula (barrel medic). Its description in RNAcentral is "long non-coding RNA (MTRU_LNC004656)". The stretch from base 36079 to 36246 matches the Rfam family "MIR2680 microRNA precursor family". The record is from RNAcentral. Lineage: Eukaryota; Viridiplantae; Streptophyta; Magnoliopsida; Fabales; Fabaceae.
UUACCCUCAAAUGAAUCACCUUUGAACGUAGAAAACUGAUUAUUUUGUGGUAUUGGACCCGUGAGAUUGUUAAAGGACACAUUUAAGAAUUCCAAAAAGGUGAUUUGUGCCAACUGUUGGGGAAUUUUCCCUGAAAGACUGUUGACAGAAAGAUCUAACGCUUCAAGGUUAGAAAGCUUCCCUAAGGAAGAUGGUAUGCUUCCAAUAAGGUGGUUAUUUGACAAGUUGAGCAAAACAAGACCCUUCAACUCGCCUAUCACUUGUGGUAUCUCUCCGCUGAUUUUGUUGCUUGAAAUAUCAAUGGCUAUCAAGCUGUAAAAUUUUUGAAGCUUCACAUAAACCCUGGCCAGUCCUUUGUUUGACAUAGUGAAAGAAUAAAACUUUUUUUCUAACAUAUGAUAUUGUCGUGCAUACUUCGAUCUUAAGUAAGACUCGUACUGUAACUGACUUGCAUUGGAAGUAUUCAUUGCUUUCCAACUUUGGAUCAUUUCUGUUGGAAAACUGCCAGAGAAGUCAUUGUGAGAAAGGUCAAUGAUGUGAAGUUUGGAAAAUGUGCAUGUCAUGUUGCCAGAGCACCUAAUGUCUCCAUGGAAUUCAUUGUUACUUAAAGACAAUACCUUCAACUCCGGUAACUCUCCCAUCCAGAAUGGAAAUGAAUCAUUGAUGUUGUUAUAACUAACAUCAAAGAAUUCCAGCCUUCUAUUGUUGACCAAAGCCCUUGGCAACUGACCCUGCAGAUUGUUGUUGCUAAGAUCAAUCUGUUUAAGGGAAUUUCCUAUCAUGUAUGUUUGAGGAAUGAGGCCAGAUAAUUUAUUCCCUUUUAGAUCCAGACUUUCUAAAUAUUGGCUAAACUUCCCUAGACAUGAAGGAACAUUGCCGCUUAAGUUGUUGAAUGAUAAAUCAAGUUUCCUGAGUGAUUUGAGAUUGCAUAUGGAUGGGGAUAUUUCUCCUACCAAUGAAUUGUUGGAAACAUCUAAGAUUUGUAGACUUUCUUUUUUCCACAACCAUUUGGGUAGCGAAGUUAUAUUGUUGUUUGACAGUAAAAGAGUUUCCAUAUCACUAAGAUCACUUAUGAAUGUUGGAAUCUCAACAAAAUUGCAUGAAGCCAAUCGUAAAUCUUGAAUUAGAGAAUCAGUCAUACGAGAUGAACUUUUUCCACUAUACAAUGACAGUUUGUUAAAUGAUAAAUCAAGAAAGACUAGCUUUUUGAGGUUCAGAAACUUGUCUAACUCUAGCUUUCCAUGCAAAGAAUUAAAGGGUAGGUUCAAGACAACUAAAUUUGUUAGGUUCAUAAUCCAAGAUGGAAUUUCACCCUUUAUAUUGCUAUUUGCUGCACUUAAAAGUACUAGCUGAGUGAGAUUUGCAAAAGAUAAUGGAUGUUACUGUCAAUUUUGACUGAGGAUAUAUCCAAGGCAAUUAAUGACGAGAGCUUACCUACCCAUGAGAAGGUCUCAAUAGUAAAUUCAUUCAAAGCAACAUCCAAGACGCUUAGUUUUGUAAGAUUGGCCAAGGAUGCAGAAGGGUCGCCCCUAAAUUUGUUAUUUCUAAGGUCUAUCUGCAUGAGUUGUGUGAGGUUGCCAAGUGAAGAAGGAAUAUAUCCAAAAAAAUGGCAAUCUGGAAUUGUUAGAGUAUCUAAAGAAGUAAGCUUUCCAAUAGACACUGGCAGUGUACCAGAGAAACCUGUCUGAUCAAGUCCUAACUUGGUGAGUGAACUAGACUGAAACUCAGGUAAACUUCCUUUGAGAUUUGGAUUAGAUCUCAAAUCCAGAACUUCCAAGUUUGGAAGAUGAAAUACUCCAACAGGAAAUUCACCAUACAAUUCAGAAUUGUAUAGAGACAGUGCUUUCAAUGAAGUUAGAUUUGUGAGUGUAUCUGGUAAAUUAGAUGAAAUUGUUACAGAACUAAGAUAAAGGGUCUCAAGUUUUGUUGAGUUUUGAAUUAUGCUUUUGAGACUGGAUAAUUUGAGUUGCAGCAGAUUGUCUGUAGCUCUGAAGCCUAGAUCAAGAGACAACAACUUGGACAACUGUGAAACUUGUGGUGGAAUUUCUCCAGAAAAGAAGCUCAGGGAAAGUUUCAGAUGUUUUAAUUGUGAAAGCUCACCUAUCUUGGAUGGGAUUUGAGAGUAAUUGAAGUCAUUGUCAGAAAGAUCAAGAACUCGAAGGUGCACAAGGCGAAAGAGACUGCUAUUUGCAUCCAUUCUACCAUAGAGUUGGCUGCUACUAAGAUCAAUGUGAAUCACAUGGUCUGUGUGCUCAUGACAUUUAACGCAUCCCAUGAGCAACAAUCUGUGCUGGAAUUCCAAGAUGAUGUUUUAGGAUAACCAAGAAGAUCAUCAGAGGCUAAGUUAUUGAUGACAAAGCCUUCCUUAAAUUGCAACAAGGCAUGGCUUUCAUCACCAUGACACUUUGGAUGAAUUUGAGGAAAACAUGUAGUAAAUGCGAAAGAGAAGAGUGAAUAAAGAAAAAGAAAUUUUACUAACAAAACAAGAGACCUGACAAACACCAUUGUAUUUUAAUAUUUUGAACUGAAUAAAGUGAAUGUUUUGGAUGAAAUGCUAGACACAUACUAAGUGAUUCUUAUAGUAAAUGAAAAUGUUUUAUAGUGAAUUUGAUUAUCAUUGACCGUGCAUUUUGGUUUAGGACUAACAUCACAAGUCUAUUUGAUGUUUUAUCAUGUAGUGAGGCUUUCUUAUCUUCCACAAAUUUCAUUUUCUGUCCAUUUUUGGUUUUUCUUUUCUAAUUUCAGUACAUUUGUCUCUAUUGUUUGACUCAGCAAUUUCCUAUGACUUUCUUGCUUCUUGCAUUCUUGGAAAACAAUUUAAUUGACUUAGUCAAUUGUUCCUGUGCAAUUUUAUUUCAUACCGACAUAACAAUUUGUUUUCUCCCUUCAUAUACUCACCAUUUUAUUAUUUGGUUUUAUGCAUGAAAUUCAAUCUAGAACCAUGUAAGAGCAUGCACAAAUUUAUUGAAAAAUUAACUAUUUUAUAUGUACAAAUUUUUUUAUUGAAAAACGCAUUUUAGGGAAAAGAUACUUGGAAAAAUGAAUGAAAUUUGUACCGUCCUGAUGUUGAGAUUUCUUACUAUGAUUCGGGGAUCUGUUUGAUUGUUUGGAGAGAAGGUUUUGUUGGGAAGAAAAUAAACUAGAGAGAAAUAUUUCGUUUUCUUUGUUUGAGAGAUUGUUUGUAGAGAAUAAUAAAUUAAAUAUACUAACAUUAAUAUGUUUUAAAUUUUGAGACUUCUAUAAUAACAUAAAUUGAAUUUAAAUUUUUUAUCUAAAUUCUCUGAAACUUUCAUCCAACGCAAUUUUUUUAACUUUCUCAAAUUCGAAGGAUUUUGUAUUACUGAAGAAAAACAACAGCUCAAAGUUUUCUCUUUCCAAACCCCACCAUUCUCCCAAAUAGACUCUUGGUGAUGCAAAAAGAGUUAAUCAAGCAAGAGACUAUAGUAUGACAGUUUCUUUUCCCACCUACAAUAUCUGAUUCUUGUAACUCAAUAUCUCUUUGUAAAGAAACUCAUAUCAUUAUAGUGGAACGGAAAGCUGCUCUCUCCCCCAGACUAGGUCAUCAUUAGACCGAACUGGGUAAACAAAUUCUUGUGUUCUCCUUCCUCCUUAUCUCUUGCUAUUUUUGUUUGGAUUAUUUGCUACCCGCUUGUUUUGAUUACUUGGUAUUAAUUUGCUCCACGCAUCAAGUUUUUUAUUGGUGUGUUUCUCAACGAAUUCACAACAACCCUAUUUUGGGAUUCUAAAAUCGGAAAAAAUGGGAGGAUUUUAAACGUAUUUUAUGCUUUUGAAAGAUACAAUCCAAAAUACAGUUGGGCACGCGAGAGGCAAAUAAGGUGAGAUAAGAAAUUCACUUAUAGCAUAGUUCUCUAUUUGCCUUUUGACAAAAUGUGGCAAUCUUCCUAAGCUUUGCCCCCAAUCUUCUAAAUAAUAUAAGAAAGACAUUAAGAAAGUAAUGCCUGAACAAAUCUAUCAAAGUUUAUUUCAUAAGAAAAUUUAUUAUCACAAUUCACAACAUACAAAUUCAAUAUAAGUGUUUUUAAAUCUGAACAUAAUUUAAUCAAAUUUGACAAAAGAUCUCCCAUCUAUAUUACAGAAGAUUUUACUUAUUUGUAUCACAAUCUUCUCUAGUCUCUAAUGAUCGGCAACUUGGGUGUAGAAUGCAGACACAACAAUUAGUCCAAAUGAACAUACAAGCUAUAACAAUGAGUAAUCAGACUAAAAUAUAAAGACAACACUGUCAUGAAGUCUCGACUUUUGAUUCUGAGCCACACAUUCUGAAAUCCACAUAAGAUUUCUUAUCUCCUGCUCCCUUAACCUCAUAUAUGCGAAGAAAACAGCAUAGUGAAACUGCAAAUAUAGACAAAUUAGGAUGGCUUAGUGAAUGAAUAAAACAUACGUACACCAUACAAAAACAUUUAUAAUUAAGCCAGUCAAUAUCCUUCCAACUUAAUAUUAUGAUAUUCUGAACUGUUAAAAAAAUUAACCUGUUGCUCAAAUGCUAAGCAAUGCCUCUUGACUUCCUCCUCAUAGAAUGCCUUGUCAAGCAUCUGGCUCUCCCCAUACGAUAACUUCGCAAAGAUAGAUUGAUAAGGAGGGUAUUUUUCCAUAACAGCACGAACCUACGCGAGCAACUGAAAUUCUGGCUUCGUUAGCUUAAGAUGUUUCACACGAUGUUGCAACACUUAAUCAAACAGAUUCAGAUGUUUAACAAAAGAUUGAAACAUUAAACUAACAUCAAACAACAAAAGCAUAAACAAACAGAAAGGAAAGGAGACACAAUAAUUUGUUAACCCAGUUCGGUGCAACGUCACCUACUCUGGGGGCUACCAAGCCAUGAAGGAAAUCCACUAGUAGAUCGUAUUCAAAAAGCUCUCAGCAAACCACGUUUGCACUUGAUGACCUAGACUCUACCCGUAAUGAUUUCAGCCUAAGAACUCCUAGACUUGAGAUCCCAUCCCACUUCCUUAUCUCUCUAAUCACAGACCCUGUGAUUUACAAUUCAAUUAUCAAAGCACAAUAGAAGUUACCUUCCAACACAAUAACAACAUACACCUUUGUUUCACAACAUUGGUGCAGCCUUACAACUACCUAUCUCCUUGCUUAAAAGCUCUGGACUAGUGCACAAUUACAACUUAAGUGACAGUCCUUAACAUGUAUCAAAAGACACACGAAAGGCUCACAAAAAUGACUCAAAACCCUAGACACUCUAAUUUGCUUAGUGACGGCUUGAAUGGUCUUCAGGUCUUGCAGUCCUCUUCUCUUAUACUGAAGCGAUCUGAUCAUCAUGAAUCACGGGCUCCAGAAACAAUCGGGCGAUCAGUUACAAGUCAAAGGUCCAAAUAAGGAAACUUACCAUAACAGGCUUGGCAAAUUUAAUUGGACAUUAUGAUCACCUUAAAAGAUAUUCCUAAGAAGCUUGCACAAUCUCAGGAACUUAAAGUUGUUCUGAUCUUCUCCUUAAACACGCAGGUUUGACCAAUCAUAGAUUGGCGUGGACUUCCUUAAAUAGCGCAGGCGCGUGCGUAAAAGAAGGCGAGGCGCAGAACACACAGCCAGGCCUUGAUGUCAGAACAUUGUGUUCCACAUCCGAUAUGAAUAUUUGUUUUAGGCAAAAAGAAGCCAACAUACAAAUAUCCAACAAUCUCCCCCUUUGGCAAAUUUUUGGCUAAAACAACUUCAUGCCAAUCUAAUCAAACCGGAGAGAUAAGCACAUGCACAAUUUUCUUCAAUCAUCAAAAACACAAAUAAAACAUCCAUGAAGAAAAUACACAGCUCUUGGAAAACUAAGAGGUACCAUACAUAUAAAACUUCAAUCACAUCACAAUCUUCAAGACUUCAGAAUUAUAUUAUGAUCUCUGAAUCUACUCUCAUAAUUUUUCAAAAACAAAACACCAUAUGAAUCCAGUAGAUGAGAGAAUAAGAUACCAAAUAGAAAACCAGAGAAUUGCAGCAGCGGAUAUACAGGAAAAAUAAUUUCCUGAUAGAACAUGCAGAAUAUACUGAUGUUCAGACAUUCGUAAAAGCAUCCACACAUAAUGGAAAAAAUAAAUUUUCAUACACAGCAACUGCAGAACAUAAUCACUCCCCCUCAAUUAAAUAAUCAUUGAGUGAUUACUUAAAUAGCCUUACUCCCCCUGAACAUGUGCAUCCAAGGUUUGUAGCUUCUGCUGGCAUCUGUCCUUACAGCUGGAUAUUACAUAGGUAUGACCACUUUAUUACUCCCCCUUUUUAGCUAGAAAAUAUGCCAUACCCAGUAACCCAGUAGUGAACCACUUACUGCUCCUUAUGCAAGCAAACACCCAACUUGCUCCUUAGAUUCUCAAAUUGUUUGACAUCUAAAGCUUUGGUGAAAAUGUCAGCCAAUUGUUCUUCAGUGGCUACAUGCUCUAGAGUUACAACCUUAUCUUCAACCAGAUCCCUGAUGAAGUGAUGUCGGAUGUCAAUAUGCUUUGUUCUGCUGUGCUGAAUAGGAUUUUUGGAGAUGUUGAUUGCACUAAGAUUAUCACAGUACAAUGUUAGAACACUUUGUUAUACAUCAUAUUCUUCCAACAUUUGCUUCAUCCACACCAACUGAGAACAGCUACUUUCUGCAGCAAUAUAUUCAGCUUCUGCUGUUGAGAGAGACACAGAGUUUUGCUUCUUGCUAAACCAGGACACCAGAUUGUUUCCAAGAAAGAAACAUCCUCCUGAUGUGCUUUUUCUGUCAUCUGCACUACCUGCCCAAUCUGCAUCACAAUAACCAAUCAAUUGAGAGUUGUUACUAUGAGAAUACAGAACACCAUAGUCUGUGGUGCCAUUGACAUAUUUCAGAAUUCUUUUGACUUGAGCCAGAUGGCUCAUUUUGGGCUCUGCUUGAUAUCUUGCACAAACUCCCACAGCAAAAGUUAUAUCAGGUCUGCUUGCUGUAAGAUAAAGUAGACUUCCUAUCAUACUCCUGUAUAGACUUUGAUCAACAGCUACGCCAUUUUCAUCCUUUGACAGCUUUAGAUGAGUGGCUGUUGGAGUUCUUUUAUGACUGGCAUUAUCCAGUCCAAAUUUCCUCACAAUAUUCUUAGCAUACUUGCUUUGAGAGAUGAAAAUAGUGUCCUCCAUCUGUCUUAUCUGUAAGCCAAGAAAAUAGGUCAAUUCUCCUACCAGACUCAUUUCAAAUUCAGAUUGCAUUUGUUGAACAAAAUGUUGAACCAUUUGGUUCGACAUUCCUCCAAACACAAUAUCAUCAACAUAUAUUUGUGCUAUCAUGACUCCUCCAUGUUCCUUCUUAACAAACAAGGUCUUGUCUGUACCACCUUUCUUGUAUCCUUGAUUGAUCAGAAAUUCUGUGAGUCUCUCAUACCAAGCUCUGGGAGCUUGUUUUAAACCAUAUAAGGCCUUCUUGAGUUUGUAGACAUGAUCUGGAAAGUUUGGAUCAAUGAAACCUUUAGGUUGUUCAACAAACACUUCUUCAUGCAGAUAGCCAUUUAGGAAGGCACUUUUAACAUCCAUCUGAAAAAGCUUGAAUUUCAGAAUACAAGCUACCCCCAAAAGCAGUCUUAUGGAUUCCAACCUGGCAACAGGAGCAAAUGUUUCAUCAAAGUCUAGCCGUUCCACCUGUGUAUAACCUUGGGCCACCAGUCUUGCCUUGUUUCUUGUGAUGAUCCCAUUCUCAUCAGACUUGUUCUUAUAUAUCCAUUUUGUGCCAAUGACAUUUAUGUCAUUUGGCCUAGGCACCAAUUCCCAUACUUCACUCCUCUUGAACUGAUUGAGCUCUUCUUGCAUGGCUUCAAUCCAGAAUUCAUCAGUGAGAGCUUCUUUUACAUUCUUAGGUUAAAACUUGGAAACAAAACAGGAGUUGGAAACAACUUCAUUAGAUCUUCUUGUUCUGAUUCCUUGAUUUGGAUCUCCAAUAAUCAGAUCUUGAGGAUGAUUUUUCUGUACUCGGAUUGAGGGUCCCUUAUUUGCUUCAGCCUGAUCUACCUCAGCAACUACAGAAGUAGCUUCAGGUUCAACUUCAGUCUCUGGUACAACAUUUUCUUGAGUUGAUGUUUCAAGAUCAGCUUCAACAUCAGGAACAACUUCAGAGAUUUCUUCUUUGACACCAUCAUCAAUUACCACAUUAAUGGAUUCCAUGACCACUUAAGUUUUGUUGUUGAAAAUAUCCCAGAAAAAUUCCUUCAUCACUCUUAGGAUCCAUCUUUUUUCUGUAGUCUUUAUCAGCAAGAAUGUAGCACUUGCUUCCAAAAAUGUGGAAGUAUUUAACAGUAAGUUUUCUUUCCUUCCAUAGUUCAUACAGAGUAGUUGUAGUACCAGUUCUCAAAGUGACUCUGUUGUGAACAUGACAAGCUGUAUUCAUAGCUUCAGCCCAGAAAUGGUAGGGAAGAUGUUUAGCAUGAAGCAUGACCCUAGCAGAUUCUUGUAGAGUUCUGUUUUUCCUUUCCACCACACCAUUCUGUUGGGGUGUUAUAGGGGAUGAGAACUCAUGUCUGAUUCCUUCCUUUGCACAGAAUUCAUGGAAUCUGGAAUUCUCAAACUCAGUCCCAUGAUCACUUCUUAUCCUGACAAUGCCUCUAUUCUUCUCCCUUUGAAGUUGAAUGCAAAGUUCCUUGAAAGAUUCAAAAGUAUCUGACUUUUCUCUAAUGAAGUUCACCCAAGUGAAUCUUGAGAAGUCAUCAACAACCACCAGAACAUACCUCUUUCCACCAAUACUGGCCACUUGCAUUUGUCUCAUUAAAUCAAUAUGAAGAAGUUCAAGAGUCUUAGAGGUACCUUGAUGUUCCAACCUUGGAUGAGACACCCGUAUCUGUUUACCAAUCUGACAUUCUCCACAAAUACUUCUUUCAGUGAUGUCCAGCUUGGGUAACCCUCUGAUUGCAUCAUGAGAUAUGGCCUUCUUAACCCCUUGCAUAUUCACAUGUCCCAAUUUUUGGUGCCACAGUUUAACUUCUUCAUCUUUGCUUAUCAGACAAGAAGACAAAUGAGCCUUUUCUUGAGACAUCCACAAGUAGCAGUUGUCCUUUGAUCUAGUCCCCAUCAUGCUCAAUUUUCCCUUUCCAUCCAAGACCUGACAUUCAGUUUUACUGAAAUUUACACUUAGCCCUUGAUCACACAAUUGACUGAUGCUGAUCAAAUUUGCAGUUAGACCAUUUACCAACAAGACAUUACUCAGCCUAGGAGACCCUUCUCUAACUAAGUCUCCAAUCUCAACAAUUUUUCCUUUAGCACCAUCCCCAAAUGUAACACAGCUUUUUGCAUAAGUUCUAACAUUUUCCAGAAAGCUCUCAACUCCAGUCAUGUGACGGGAACAACCACUAUCAAAAUACACACUUAGGUAUCCAUUCUUUCUUCAAAGCAGACCUAGGUUGAUAUUGCUUAGGUAUACCAGGUAAAUCAAAACAGAAGGAUUUUUUAUGUCCUGGUCUGUUACAGAAAUCACAUCUCAAGGUGGAAGAUUCUUUCACUGACUCAGAGAUAGAAAGUUCUACUGAAUGUUCUAACAUCUUAUCUGGUACUGAUACUUUACUAGAGGAGGUUACAAACAUUAUUUUCUUCACAGGUUUUUUAUUUCUAUUCUUCUGAUAAUGUUCUAGGGCCUGGGAAUGACUAUUGCUAUGAUGUUCUUUCUUUAGGUGUUCAUGAGUGAAUCCUAUCCCAUUAGGUUUCCCUACAAUUUGACUAUUUAACAUCCUAUCUAGUACUUCAGUUCCAGUAGUCAUCAUCUUAACUUGUUUAAGAACAUGGUCAAGUUGGGACUUAAGAAGAAUUACCUCAUUGUUCAGUUCAGUAAUCUUGGACAGAUGCUUACUUCUUUCUUGUAAGAGUUGAUUAAUAGUUGCUUCAUGCCCUGAAGUGAAUUUGGCAGAAACAGCAUUAGUUCCUUCUUGAUCACAUUUUGGAAGAAUAACUUCUUCACAGAUAAGCUCUUCAUCAGCAGAAUCAUAAGAUGGCUCCACUCUUCCAGUCAUGGCAGUGACAUGUCUAGCCGCAUCACUAUCAACAUCUCCAUCUGUACCUUCAUCAUCAGAUCAAGCCACAAUCAUCCCAUUCUUUUGUUUCUUGAGAAAGGUUGCACAUUCAGUUCUGAUAUGCCCAUAACCUUCACAUUCAUGGCAUUGUACUCCUUUGUACUGACUAUUCUUUUCAUCACCUCUGUCAUAUUUUGGAUUCCCUUGUUGCCUGUCGGUGUUGAAUCUGAAGUUCCGCCCAUUUCCUCUGAAUUUGUUGUUGACUUGUUUCAUAACUCUGUUGAAUUGUCUACCAAGCAUGGCCAUAUCUUCUGUUAGCUUGUCUUCUUCUGCAUCUUCAUCCUUUCCAACAUCAUCAGCUGUGCUUGUUGUGAAAGCAAUGCCUUUUCCUUUCUUCUCAGUUCUGUUGUCAACAACAAGCUCAUAGUUCUGAAGAGAACCUAUGAGUUCUUCCACUUGCAUAUUGGAUACCUCCUGUGCUUCUUCAAUGGCUGUUACCUUCAUGUAAAAUCUCUUUGGAGAUCUGAGAAUCUUUCUUACCAAUUUCUCAUCUGACAGCUUUUCCCCAAGGGAAUCAAAUGAAUUUGCAAUGUCUAAAACAUUCAUGUAGUAGUCUUGAAUAGUCUCAUCCUCUUGCAUUUUCAGACUUUCAAAUUUGGUUGUUAAGAGCUGGAUUCUUGAGCUCUUUACCUUAGAAGUUCCUUCAUGAGUUGUCCUGAGGAUGUCCCAAGCAUCUUUGGCAACAUCACACUUUUUGAUGAGUCGGAACAUGUUCUUGUCUACCCCAUUAAAGAGAGCAUUUAACGCCUUCGAAUUUGCAAGAGCCAAUUCAUCUUCAGGAGCAGUCCAUUCCUCUUCUGGUUUCAGAUCCGUUGUUUUGUUGUCAUCCUUGUCAAGAACAACAGGAUGUUCCCAACCUCUCAACACGGCUUUCCAGGUCUUGCUGUCAACAGACUUUAGGUAAGCACUCAUGCGAGACUUCCAAUAGUCGUAGUUGGUUUCAUAUAACAGAGGUGGUCUGUUAACGAAUCCUCCUACUUUCUCCAUAUUGCCAGAAUAGAACUCCUCUAGAUCUCACCCAAUAACAGGCAGGGUGCCUGCUCUGAUGCCAAUUGAAAUUCUGGCUUCGUUAGCUUAAGAUGUUUCACACGAUGUUGCAACACUUAAUCAAACAGAUUCAGAUGUUUAACAAAAGAUUGAAACAUUAAACUAACAUCAAACAACAAAAGCAUAAACAAACAGAAAGGAAAGGAGACACAAUAAUUUGUUAACCCAGUUCGGUGCAACGUCACCUACUCUGGGGGCUACCAAGCCAUGAAGGAAAUCCACUAGUAGAUUGUAUUCAAAAAGCUCUCAACAAACCACGUUUGCACUUGAUGACCUAGACUCUACCCGUAAUGAUUUCAGCCUAAGAACUCCUAGACUUGAGAUCCCAUCCCACUUCCUUAUCUCUCUAAUCACAAACCAUGUGAUUUACAAUUCAAUUAUCAAAGCACAAUAGAAGUUACCUUCCAACACAAUAACAACAUACACCUUUGUUUCACAACAUUGGUGCAGCCUUACAACUACCUAUCUCCUUGCUUAAAAGCUCUGGAGUAGUGCACAAUUACAACUCAAGUGACAGUCCUUAACAUGUAUCAAAAGACACACGAAAGGCUCACAAAAAUGACUCAAAACCCUAGACACUCUAAUUUGCUUAGUGACGGCUUGAAUGGUCUUCAGGUCUUGCAGUCCUCUUCUCUUAUACUGAAGCGAUCUGAUCAUCAUGAAUCACGGGCUCCAGAAACAAUCGGGCGAUCAGUUACAAGUCAAAGGUCCAAAUAAGGAAACUUACCAUAACAGGCUUGGCAAAUUUAAUUGGACAUUAUGAUCACCUUAAAAGAUAUUCCUAAGAAGCUUGCACAAUCUCAGGAACUUAAAGUUGUUCUGAUCUUCUCCUUAAACACGCAGGUUUGACCAAUCAUAGAUUGGCGUGGACUUCCUUAAAUAGCGCAGGCGCGUGCGUAAAAGAAGGCGAGGCGCAGAACACACAGCCAGACCUUGAUGUCAGAACAUUGUGUUCCACAUCCGAUAUGAAUAUUUGUUUUAGGCAAAAAGAAGCCAACAUACAAAUAUCCAACAGCAACCAUGUAAAAGAAUUAAGGCUAAAAAAGCAAUACUAAAAGAAAUCAACUAGAAAUCAGUGGAUGUUAUAGACAACAAUGAUGAAUCUCAAAUAUUUCAGGGCGAUACCAACAAGAAAUUGGUAGCCAAAAGCAACUCAAAUUGCAAAUGAAGUAACAAUGAAAGUGCACAAAAAUAUGAAAUGAAAGUUUCAAAGAGAUCCCUCAAACAAGAAUCAUCUACAAGUAGGGCAGUCUCCUGGCGGUACAGGUUUAAGGUCAUGCAACGGCAAUUAAACCAGGGAUAAGAGGAAUAAUAUAGUUGCAGCACAUUACAAUGACUUAGGUACUAAUAAAAAAAAUCGAUAAAUAAUCUACUGCCCUAAGAAACACAAUCUAGAAGGGUCCAAGAAGCAUACAAAUUGAAAGAGGGAAAACACUGUACAUCAGCAAUGCAACAACCAAACGUUUAACACAAUUGAGAUGCAAAUCAUACCUGAUCAAUGUCCUCACAGACAGCAAGCUCCUCAUGACCAUAUGGAUAGCUGUUAAAAAUAAGUUGGUGAUUAGUAAAAUAAGCAUUACAAAUUAGUAUAUUGAUUUGCUUUUUCUUAUUUUUAAAAAUAUUUAUCUGAAGGAUUAGAGCUUACAACAAACCGAAGUUAGAGUACAACUUCCUACGGUCAUCUCUGGUAAGCUCAGUUCCAAUGCUGCACAACGUGGAAACCAUGGAUGCUAGUUAUGCAGAUAUCCAGAUAAACAAAAAGAUUGUACAAAACCUUCUUAGUGAUUUACCUGUUUAUGGUAAUAUUCACAGCCCUUCUAUCGGCCUCAAAAGCCAGAAGGUCAGACAUUAUCUCGGCAGUAGCACCACCAAGUUUCUGUUUGGGAAUAACAUUGAAAUUGAUGACUGUCAGGAGGAAAUCACAAGGGAAUACAAAUAACUAGCUGACAAAAAAGAGACUUGGAAAUCAAAAAGAGGCUUCACCUGACAAAAUCUGUAAAAAUCUUCAAGGUAUGCCUUGUAAAGAGUGUUCCUCAUUAUUUCAAUGUUCAUGUCAUCCAAGUCCUGAAAAUUAACCAAAACCAUGAGCACAUAAAUCAAAGAAAUAAACAUAUGAAGCUAUGCCAACGAAAUUAAUGCCUAUAAUAUCAAAGUUUUGGUACUAUUGUACUAUUGCAUGUGCAUAAUCCAAAUUAAUGCCUAUAAUAUCAAAGUAGGAAAAUUGUCUUCUGGAUGGCAACCAAGAGCUAUUUGCCUUCCAAUUUUUUUUAUAGUUUUACAUUACAUUUUUUUUCAGUCUAUUUGGUGAAAAUUAGGGGUAGAUAUAGAUAAUUUCAGGUUUAUGCAAUAAAACUAUACUACAGCAUUCAACACGCAGACUGAUUGAAGUUGAACCAAAGAAAAGGGAAACGAUAAUUCUGGAGAUGAUUUACCUCUGAUGUAAUGCACUCAGAGAAGUAUGGAGCCAGAGGAGUGUCAACAAGAACCAGCCUGUAAAGCUCCCUCAUAUUCUGAGCUACAGCCAAAGUGGCAAUACUGAGGAGAAUGCCACGGGGAGAAACAAAAGAUGAAAUCAAUAUUCUAUGUACCAACAACAAUAUGCUGCAAAAUGCAUAGAAGACGUCAAAAAAAAAAAGGCAUAGAAAUCAGGGUACCUGUCAAACAUGCCCAGUGGAUGGCAUUUUUCUAGAAGUUCUUGGACAUCUCUCUCAUGCAAGGUGCCAGUAACAAUCAAAACAACAUUGUCUAUCAUGUGACCAUAUCUGCAGAGUAAAAAAGAAAAUAUAUUCAUUUCAGCUUUACUUACAGACACGGGUACUGGAAACCACAUUGAUAUUGAGUAUUGGCACAUCAACACCGGUAAUUAACGACUAGUGACGGACACCAGACACGGUUUCAAUCUGAAGUGACAGUGCUGUAUAAACUUGUGUGUGCUCAGUAAAUACAAUAACAGAGCAAACAGAAAAUGAAAAGUUCACAUACGUGAUAUACUCUAAGAAGGUUGACAAGGGUUCUGUAGCUUGGCAUAGCAUGUGCUUGUAAUCAUCAACCAGCUUAAGAGUACAUUUCUCCACAAUUGUUGUUGUAUGCAACGGAGAAGGUUCUGCAAUAAUUAAGUCGUCAUCCAUCAGUAGAAAUCCAUAAUUUUAAGUACUACAAGUUAUCAUUAAGUAUACACCCUUGAAUUAAUAAGAAUACUAAUAAGCUGAAAAUUGAAACAAUAAUUUAUGAAAAUCUUCUAAAUCUUAAUUCAACAAAGAAUAUUGAACAAAACUUGCAGUAAUAACAGUUAACUUUUACACAAAUAUAAUAACAAAAACAAAUGAUAUCUUACUGAAGUCUACAAUAAUAGGGUAAUAUAAUCAUAGACUCAAUCAAUCAUUAAUCCAAGGUAGAACAUAUAUCCAAAACAACCGUCAUUAAAUUUUCAUGACUAGGAAGCAUGAUUAUCAAAUCGAGAUUAAAUUUGUGAAUUGCAAGAUCUAUUUUUUAAAAUCGUGAAUUGAAUCAUAUUAUGACUUGUAAAUACAUAACCAAUAAUUUUUAUUCUAAGUAAAAACAUGUAAGUAACUAGUGACGGAUCCAGAAAUUUCGUUUUGAGGGGGCAAAACUUUUUAUAUUAGAAAUAUUAAUAUAAAAUUUUUAGCAAUGUAAAAUUGAUAAAAUAAUAAUGAUUAUUUAACCCUGACACUUCUGAUCAAAGGCAUGUCGCGUGUAUAAAACGUGUGUCAGUAUCUGACACCACCGACACAAGUGAUUCUAUAAAAAUGUGAGUUGUGUUGUUUUCUAAAGAAUUUAUGGCUGUCCACAUGUUAGGUGUCCAUGCUUCAUAGAUCACAAUUUUGCAUAUAAUCAUAAAUAACAGAAACAUUUCUGAUCAACUAAGGAUUUAAUUUCGUUACAAUUUUUCAACAGCAAACAAUAAAUUUCAUCAAAAACAUCUCAAAAUUUCGAUAAAUUUUCCUUCAUUUCAGUUAUUGGCAUUUCAAAUCUACAAACAAUUGAAAUAAAUAUCGUGAUUUCGUAUGAUCAUUAAAAAAAUAAAACAUUUUUGAUUAACUAAGCACUUAAUUUUUAUUGAACAUCCAAAUAUUAUGAAAAAUUUCUCAAAACUUCUAGAAAUAAUUCUUCAGUUCAGUCAUUAGCUUUACUGUUUGAAUUAUUGACUUAGCAUACCAAAAAAUUUAUUGAGACACCAUGGUAUCUUAUAAUUUUCUUUCACAACUCUUACAUUUAUACACCCAUAAAUUUCAUAAACUUAUAUAAUACUAUCUUCGUCCUUAAUUAUAGGACCCUUUUAGAAAAAUAACUGGAACUAAGAACAUUGAAAGUCGUAAUAAAUUUGUCUGUAAUUAGUAUUGCUUUUACAUUUAUAUAUCCUUUAAGAAAGAGGAUUAGUGUAUGUUUUCAACAUAGUAUUUACUGAUGAAUGAAGAAAAAAAAUAUAAAAUAAAUAAGGGUGUGUUGGUAAAAAAUUAAUUAAUGUACUUGAAAAUACUAAAGAUGUCUUGUAAAAAGAGACAACGCUUUCUCUCAAAAGAGUCCUAUAAUUAGGGACAGAGGUACUAUCUCAUUUUCUCUUUAUCUCUCUUCCUAUCACAUUAACAAUAUAUCACAUUUAUCACAUUACUCUCUAUUAUCUCUUUCUCUUGUAAGGUGUUAAAUGAUUUUGGGUGUUUAUCAAAACAUUUAUCCUUUUGUUACUUAAGGUGUAUAUGAUAUCCAACAUUAAGUUAUUUAAUGUCCAUUUUUUUAUAUUUAAUAAAUUUGACGUUUUUUUUUCUCUCAAAAAAAAAAUUUGACGUGUUUUCCUCAAAAAAAAAAAUGACGUUUAGAAUAUUGGUACUUGGUAGCAACAAAAUUAAGGUUACAAAAAAUUUACUUAAAAUUAAAUAAAAUGCAAUAAUUAAAAGUUUAAUUAAACACGGAUACAAUAAACAACUUUGAAUGAUUCCAAAAUUUAUUGCUUUUUAUUCCAAAAUAACAAUUAAGGGUGUGUUUGAAUAGAGGGGAAGGGAGAGAAAGACUUACUUUUCUUUUUUAAAUUACGGAUAUUAUAAAAUAAUUUUUAAAAAAAUGAAUUAACAACAUGAUAAAUAAUUGAUCAUAUAAUACUUCAAAAACAUUAAAUUUAUUUUAAAAAAAUAAAAGUAAGUCUUCCCAUCAUUUUCUUUCCAAAACCCUCAAUUCAAACACACCGUAACGAGGUUUUGUCAUCAUCAUCGUCUUAAUAAUCAUCAUGAUGAAAAGAAAAUUGCAAGACCUAAUAAACGUGUGUGACCCUAAAAUACUCUAACAUGUUUGUACAAUUUUAAUCUAAUUCAAACACGUUGAAGAAGGUGAAAAGAGGAAAAUUUGCUCGUGUUUGCAUGAUUUUUAUAAACCUCUACAACUCUUUACUUUGUUGGACAAUUGUGAAAAUAUCGCUGGAAAAAAUUCCAACCCUAACAGCACUCUCAACACGUUCAUAAUAAAUUAUCUCUUAUGGUGUGUUUGGUUGUAAGAAGAAAGUGUAAAGAGAGAAAUUGGUGAGAGAAAGUAUAGGAAGAGAGAAAUAGAGUAGAUUUGAUGAGUUGUUUGAUAUAAGAGAAAGAAGAGAGAAAUAGAAGAGAAAAAAGUGUGAUUAUUUUUUAAAAGACAAAAGUACACUGGAACAUAAAAAUUAAUACAAUUGUGUAUUGUUUAAAUUCUAUUUUUAUCAAAAACUAUUAUUGUUUAUUAGUACAAUUUAAAAAAGGAAUAAUUCAUGCAAUUACACUAUUUUUCAAUUUAAUUAAUACAUUUAUCUAGUAAUGUAUUUUAGAUUCUAUUAGUAUCUUUUAAUAUAUGUUAGAUUUUAUACAAAAUAGCACCGGUGGGAUUUCUUUAAAUUGAAGUUACAUGCACAUAUAAAUAAAUAAUAAAUAAUAUAGAAAAAAACUCAAUACAUAAAGUUACAAAUGGAUGCCCAAGUCCAUUGCAAUCGUAUUAAAAAAGGGGUGUUUAUCAAGGGUAUAAACGUAAUAACAAAAAAACAAGCUUCCCUUUUCUAUUUCUUUGCUGAUGAGGAGAGAUUUGUAAAAGGUGUGGGACCCAUUAAUCUUGAGUCUCUCUUUUCUAUUUUUCUGCCGGCAAAUUCUAUGGUACACUCAAAAAUUUGAGUAUAUCGAUACACCAAUUUGUUAAAAUAAUAAUUAAAUGAGUUGAUUUUUGAAGAAAGGUAAUUAUUUUCUGUAAUUGACAUUUAUCAAAAUUAAAUAUUAUUUACCAAAAGCGUCGACAAAAUAAAAUAUAAUUUUUCUGAAUUUUUAUUACUUAUAAUAAAGAAUAUUGAUUAUUUUUUAUAAAAAAUUUUAAAAAUUUAAUAUUUUUAUAAACAAUGGAAUGAUGUUUCUUAUUAUGAGAUGAUGUUUUCUAAAAUAUAAACAUUCAUAAAUAGCUUUUUAUUUUAUAAAAGAAUCAUUAAUUUAUCAAUUUAUAAAGCAAGAGUACCGGUACACCUCAUUUUAUUAGGUGUACCGUAGAAGUUCCUUUUUCCGCCAACCAAACAAGAGAAGUUUUCUAUUAACUAUACAACGACUUUCUCUCAUUAAUAACCAACAACUCUUACGAUUAAAAAAAAAAUAUGGAUAAAUGUUGUUCAUACCAUUUCAAAUUCACUGGAUUUUUGCUCUUUUCAAUUCCUUUUUAUUUAUUUUCUAUUAUUUAUUUUCUAAACGCACAUAUUAAAAAGUAUACAUUAGUGAACAUAUUUAAGACAUUUUUAUUUUAUUUUAUUACCAUUUGAAUUAUUGAGUUCUUAGAGAAAAUCUAUUAUAGUUGCAACCCCAAAAUCAAAGAGAUUUUGACACACUCACAUAAACUAAAAUUAAAUCAAAACUAAUUUAGUAACAUCAAUUAAUAUCAUUGAAUUUCAUUCUCUUUUAAUUUUUUUCAUUUUAUGUGAGUGUGUUCAAAUCUUUUUGAUUUGGUGUUGUGACCAUAGAAGACUUUCUCGAGUUCUUAAUAGGUAAUUUUAUUUAAAAAAAUUAAAUAAAUGAUGUGUACAUGUGAGAUCUUUUAAUGACUCUUUUUAGGCUAAUACUUGAUGGUGUAUGGUGAUGACAUGUUGUCAUUACAAGUUUUUAUUAGUUAUUUUGAUGUUUUUAUUGAAUUUAUAUCAUUAUUAGACAGCCUGGAGGUGCAAAAAGCAAGAAAUUACAAAAAGUUGGAGUUUGCCAGAGCCUAUAAAAUCGGGACACAGUUGCAAAAAAUGUGACAUGAUUGCAAAAUCGUGACAUGAUUUUGACAGCGUCUAGAAGGAUCUAUUAGAGAUAUGAAGGCAAUCGUAACAGGAUUUCUCCAAUCAUGACACGAUUUUGGGCGCUGAUGCCUUGCCUAUUUAAGCCGAAACUUGUUACGAAAACAAGGGUUCUAAAUUUUGGCGAUCUGAAGCACGAUUUUGAGAGUAUAAGACUGAAGAGGUGGCCAUUCCACCAAACUCAUAGUCGAUCCUUGUAUAUUUUAAUGCUUCAUUUGAUUGUGUUAUUUGUAAUUUUCAUUAUGUAUAGCUAAAUCAUUAGAGAUUACGUCUGGAGAUGAUCUUGAUGUAGGCUUGUUUGAAAUAUGUGGUUGUGAAACUCUAUGUAUAAGAUUAUUAAUCUAGUCUUAUUCAAUUCAAUUGUUCUUAAUUUUUUUUAUAUACUGAUCAUAUAUAACAUGAAUUUGUGAGUAUGAAUGCCUACCGACAAUAACUUUCAACUUAAAUCUAAUUGGAUUGUUCAAAUAAACAGGGGUAGUCUAGGAAUAGAUGAUCGUUUAAUUGUGAUACUAGGUUAACGGUUUGAAAACCUUUGAGGAAUAUUAGAUCACCUAAUGAAUUAGAGAUUGUAAUCCAAGAAGAGGACUCCGACUCAAGGGAUUGCUCAGAGUUACUUUUGUUAAUCAUCGUAAAACUAAAGAAAUAUUCAUAUAAAAUAGAUGCAGUUUACCAAACAGUCGAAAUCAAAGGAUUCGAAAGAACUAAUUCAUCUAUCUCCUAUAUUUUCAUAACAGUUUUUACCAGCUUUCAAACUAUUUAUGCAAUCAAACCAACUGCCUAGGGCAACCCUAAAUUUUACACAUUCGAAUUAUUAACUGUAUUGCUAAAUUAAGAUUAAUACAGUCCUCAUGGAUACAAACUUUGAAUUAUUACUUUGAUAAUUUUGGUACACUUGUUAAAUAUCUAUUAUAUAGAUUGAUAAGUGCACCAAAUCGUACUCAAGUAAUAAAGUAGUAACUCGUUCAACCAAGUAGUUAGAUAAAUUUAUUUGAAGUAAAAGAAUUAAGAAACCGAAUUGUCUAGAAUAUUUAGAUGGGUGUUAAAGAUAAAGUAUUAAAUACAUUAAAAUUACAAUAGAAAUUCUUGCUUGAAUACAUUGGCUAAUUAGUCUUAUACAUCUAAUAAGUAUACUAGCUCAAACGUACAAGAUACAUAAUAUCGUAUGAGACAAUCAUGUACAUUACUAUCGAGUACAAGCAUGAUACCUCCCUUGGGUUCCUGUCAUUAGUAAUCCUUCUUGUGAGUGGUUACUAGCUCUAAAUCUAGCAUCCAAAGCCCAGCAUAUACUCCUCUUGCUAAUUCUCUGCUCAAAAAACACUCUCAGACCUCUCAAGCACUCAACCAUUACACUUCCCUUGGGAGCCUAUCAUUAGUAAUCCUUGUUGUGAUUGGUUUUUUCCAUGAUUGUUUUCUUAUUAAUCAUGUUGUUGGAGAUCUAACCAAUGAAUGCGUUUUGGCACUCGUUCAAAACUUUUUCGCAAAAACCUAGUUAUUCACAAAAUAAAUUCUGCUGAUUAUCUUAUCGAAACAUCAACAAUCCCUUGCAACGACGCCAAAACCUUAACGGUGUAUAAGUUGGCAAAUGUGUCAAAUCGUACAUUAGUAAUUUUUUUUGAUCAAAGUAAGAAAAAUUAAAUUGCAAAAUAGGAGGAGGCCUGAACCUUAUUAGUAUAUCAGAAAGACCCAAUAAAGGAUGCCAAGGCUAUCCCUAGCUAUGCCAACAAGAAACAAAGAAAUGCAGGCCAACUAUGACAUUGUCAGCUAACCAAAUCUAUAUUGCAUACCUUCAUUGUUUUUUCCUUUAUUAUCUUGUUGUCUAAUCUUUUUCUUCUUCCUUUUAGAGACAUGGAGUAUACAGAUCAUCUAGGUCAUGUGACCCCUCUAAAGACUGCUCAUCAGAAUCAGAGGCUAAAUCACUCCAAUUUUCUUUUAGAAUUUCCACACUUUUUAUAGCUGCUGCAAUGCUAGAAAGAAUUGGCUGAGUUUCAGGAACUAUCAACUGGGUAUUUCUGCCAUCACUGCUGUUUAUACUUUUGGUUAAAUGCUUUUUAUACUUAUUUUUAUGAAUAGGUGCCAUUUCAAAUAUGUGUCUAUUCAUUGGUAAAACUUUUUGAAAAAUGGUAUUGCUUCAUAAACAUCUUUUUUGCCUCUAUAAAUUUAAUUGAAAAUCAAAGCAAUUUAAAAAAACAACAACUUUCAAACUCUCAAUGUGAAUUUCAAUAUCACUUGCAUUCAAACUUUCUUUUAAUUGUUUGGAAAAUUUGGCCCACACUUAUUUAUUAAAAAGCUUUCUGAGCACUAAGUCCAUAUUGUUGAAGCGAUAUUGAUCAAGAUAAACAACCAUACAAUUUUAUUCUUCAAUUCAUUUGUAACAUUCUCAUCAAUUGUUGGUGGGAAUUAUUGUUAAAGAUAGUGGGGUGAUAUCUUGUGAUUGUUAUAAAAUGUUCUUUGAUUCAGGAAGAUUCAUAGUCCACCAAAAGUGUUUUGUGUUUGUGUUUGUAAUCAAGAGAGAUGGUUUAUUUCUUGUGUUUAUGUUAGAAAGAUUGUUAGGUGCUCUUUGGGUGAGAUUGCUUGUAACAAAGAUUCUAACAUAGUGAAUUCCUUCGUGGGGUGUGAAGGGAGUGGAGUACCUACAAGGGAACCAUUAUAAUUCUAUUGUGUCUUUUCUUCUUCCCUUACUCUUUUAUUUUUCCACAUUCAUAAUUCAUAUUAAGUUUUCGAAAAAAAUAAUCUAGAAAGCUAAACUUGCAAAAAAUUACCAAUAAUCCUAUAAAGCUAAUUCACCCCCCUUUUAGGUUAUAAUCUGAACUUACAUGUUUAACGUAAUUACAAAACAAUAGAAAAACGUACCCUAUAGAGAACAUGAGGAAGAUAAAGAUCAUUUGCCUUGAAAUUUUGAUGGUUGACCAUUGCCUUGUACCGGUUGCGUUUUGAAUGAAUAAAAGAGUGUGUGAUCUCUAUUUAUAGUACAUCAUUAUUUAUGGGUUAAGAGAAGAGAACUGAGAUUUUUCCAUUAAAACAACUUUAAAAACAAGCAAUUAGUAUUCCCGGCCCAGGGCGCAUGAACUUAUAAUAACAUAAAUUGAAUUUGAAAAAGUUAUUUAAAGGAUUUUGUAUUAAUUAAGAAAAAUGAAUGCUCAAAUUUCUCUCCUUCCAAAGCCCACCAUUCUCUCCACUUCAUCCUUCUCUUCUUCUCCCAAACAAACCCUUGGGGAUGCAACCACUAAUCAAGUAAGAAACUAUAACACAGGGUCGAUAUUAUGAUUCUUAUAUAUUUCAGGGCCGAUACCAGCAAGAAGUUGGUAGCCAAAAGCUACUAAAAAUCACUACUAGAAAAAGAAAAAUCAGCGAGGGAAAUUAGUGACGGAAAAAAUGAAAUUCCUCAAAAAAAAUUUGAUCGAAAAAUUUAGUGACGGAAUUAGAGAGAGAUUUGACGUUUUCCCUCACUAAUUUUUGAUUUUUUAGUAGUGAAUAGAAAUGAAGUAACAUCCUCACUCAUGAAAUAAAAGUUUCAAAGAGAUCUAUAAAACAAGAAUCAACUACAAGUAGGAGAGUCAUGGGUUGGUGUGAAUAAGAUAAAAAGGAGGUGCAACCACAAAGAGGGGACAAUGGAUUAUUGCAGGAGAAUUGGACUUUGGCAUAGAAAACUAUUUGUUGACCCGUAAGAAAGAAUAAAGAGCAGCACAUAAAAGGGAGAAAGUUGCUUUCCUGACAUCAAAUAUUUCCUAAUAACACAUGGAAGUUACGCAUUUAUUUCUAGCGGUAGUUAAUUACCGUUGGUAAAUUCGGCAGCAUUUAACUAUCGUUGGCUCCUAGCUGCAGUUAACUACCGCUGACUCAUCAAUUGUGAUUUUAAGCGUUUCAAUUGAAAUUUUUUUAAGGUUUAAAUGCAAUUUUACCCCCCUAUUUUGAUUGAAUCUGAAUUUUACCCCCCUUAUUUUAAACUUCAAAAUUUUACCCCCUCUAUUUUUAUUGAUUCUGGAUUUUGCCUCCCCUAUUUUAAAACUCGGAAUUUUACCCCCCUAUUUUAUGUUUUUCAGGAUUUUGCUCCCUCCCCCUAUUUUAUCCACAUAAUUAUUUUUUUGUAUUAAAUGUUUUUUAAUGAAAAAAUAAAACCAAAAAAAUACUAAAAAAAAUGAAUAAAAAAUACUAGAAAAAAAAAGCAUAAAACUAGUAUGAUCUCUAAAAAUAAAAUAAAAAACUAGUAUGAAAAUAGCAAAUAUUUAGAGGUGCAAAUUAGUUUUUUCAUGUAUUCUUAAUUGAAUUUUUUCUUGUAAUUUCAUUGUUUUUCUAGUUUUUAGUUUUUUUUUUUGUGUUUUCUUGUUUUCCUUAUAUUUUUUUACCAAAUUAUUAUUUUCUAAUCGUUUCUUUAUUUUUCUAAUAUUUUUUGGUUCUUUAUUUUAAAAUAGGGGGUAAAAUUAUGAAAAACGUAAAAUAGAGGGGGUAAAAUUCCGAGUUUUAAAAUAAGGGGGGCAAAAUCCCGAUUCAAUCAAAAUAGAAGGGGUAAAAUUCAGAGUUUUAAAAUAGGGAGGUAAAAUUCAGAUUCAAUCAAAAUGGGGGGGGGGGGGGGGGGUAAAAUUGCAUUAUUUAAGCCUUUUUUUUUUUUAAAUUGAGUUAUUCGGAAUGCUAUGGAACCUUGCACAACUCAUAUGAAACGCGUACAACAUAUGUCGGAAAUCUCAUACCGAUGUCCUAAAAUAGUUUUUAUUUUUUAUUUUUGCUUCAACACUUCUUGCAUAGGAGCCUGACACUCUCACGACACGUGUCCAACAAAUUAAGACAAGUCUCCCAAAUUAUUAUUAUUAUUAUUAUUAUUUUGCAUCAACACACAUUAUACUCUUCUUGGACGAACCGCAAACACAUUUCUUUGGUGUUAUGUUUAGGAAGUAAUACAUGACAAAAGUCAGAACAGAACCAUUUCUUUGAAGUUCUUUGCUAAUGCUCACAACCAAGAUCAUCAUCCCUUCAUUUCUUUUGUCUGUUGAAAGAAAAUUGAAUAUAUAGGGCAGCUGAGAUAAAUCGAGUGUUGGGUUUACGUGCUCCUGAGGUUAUUAAUGUUCAAAGAAGAAGAACACUACAUGAAUUGCCAAACUUUGACGGCUGGGACGAUCUUGUGGCUGGGUUGCGCAUCUGAAAUGCCACUCAAGAAGUUAUUCACACACUCCUAUAUAUCAAUCUUGUAUGAAAAUGAAGUGAUUAGUGCUGGUGAGUUAAUUGCUUCAAACUUUAAGGAAAUCGUGGAUUCCAAACAUACUACACUAGGACAUAACUGUCUGAUAAAUCUGCUUUGUGAACAAGAGAAGGUUCAUGUAGAAGCAAAUGAUAUUUUUGUGAAUUCAAAGGAGCCUAUUAAAUGACAAAGCAAUGUUAGUUUAUGAAAUGUAUAUGCAAGGAAGGAGGCAUCAAGGACGAAAUCAAUGGGCACAUGAGGAGAAACCUCAGAUGAUGGAGGAGGAUCCUAUUCCACAAGCUCCAAAUAAUCAUCCCGCCCACCUAUUCUUGAAGAUUAUAUGUAUGUGAUGCGAUGUGAUGGAAAACUAGGCUCAGGAUGCUUCUUCUCAACUAUACAUUGACCCUCUUUACUUUUCUCAAUGAUUCACGGAGGCAGCCAACCAACACCGCUAGAGACCUCGUAGAGGAAAUGCUUAACAGAGGUUUGGGAUUGAAGAGAAUAUGAGAGCCGAUAUCCAUUAGUAGAGGGGCAAGGCAGCUGAGAGAAAAAAACAAUUGCAGGCUGACUUUAACAUGGUCAGAGGUGAGGAUCAUGAGAAUUUGGCGCUUGGCCCACCAGAGGAUUUCAUGUAAUCUAGGCACAUUGUCUAUCUUUUAUUUUCUUUCCUAUUUUCAGUAAUUUAUUUUGAUUUUGAGUUAAAACUAGGUGUUGCAAGUGUUUAUUUGGAUUUCAGUUGUAUUCUCCUAUCUUCUGUUCUGCAAUGUUCUUAUUUAUUAUUAAUGAAUUUUCUUGUUUUUCAAAUUUACCAGUUUAGUAAAAAUCAUUUCACCAUUAGUACUUCUAAAGUUCAUAAGGAGGAAGAUCCUUGCAUUGAUAUUCAGCGUUUGGAAUGAUUAGGUGGCUACAACUUCUGGAAAAUCUUAGCUUGUGAAGUUUGAGCCAAAAAAAAAUUCAAUUCGUUUCUACUUAUACAAUUGUUCCAUGCAACUGUCAUUUUUAGAACCUUUGUCCUUGCAGCCUUUGUUAGGUUAGAUCAUUUUGGCCGGUGACAAACUGCAUAACAAGCCUAGAGACCUUAGGAGAUUUUGACCCAAUUUCGUGUUGGAGUUAGGCAAUGUUAUUUUUUUUUUCUAUGCUUAAUUUCAAGUUUAGGGUUGCAGUUAGAACUAGCAAUGUUUAAGUUUGGGGUACGGGUAGCAGAGAACCCAAGAGAUCACAAAAUGUUUUUCAAUUUUUUUUAAAUAAGCUACACAAAAAUGUGAAAUAAGGUACAUCAUGACAUCAUUUGGAGAAGCACCAAACCUGAAAUUUGAAAGUUAACGAGAAUUCGUGGCAUAAUUAAAUAACUUGAAUAUGGGAAGCAAGAAUUGGUAGAGCAGUGGCUUUCUAGAGAUGUUGCAAGGAUCCCUUAAUACUACUACUAGAUGUGCAACAGUAAUUGAGAGAAAGGUUGUAAAUUGAUAACGUAAGGCAUAUAAAUUGUGGUAACAUGAAAUUGAUUUUUGAUGCAAAUUAUUUAAUUUUUGUUUUGAUAGAGAUUUGAAAAGCUUUUCUGGCACCGUGGACCAUCUUGGAGAUAUUGGUGCAGGGUAGAAUCCUCCAUUAUACAUAUAAUGAAGAAAUUAAAUAAAUAUUGCAUAAUCUAUUACAACUGCAAUGUUGGAGCAAAAAUAACUAGCAGAAAAAGAAGACUACACAUAUAAAAAUUCAAUUCAUAUAGGACACAGAAUUCUACUUUUUGGUGUUCAGAUUAAACCUCACUGAAAUAUCAAAAUGUAAUUCAAAGCACACUCUUUCAAACAACCUUUAUUGCUUUUACAUAGAAAGGAAACUCUUACAGAAUGCAAUUACAAGAACAGAAGGAAACUAAGACAAAUAUUGGACUAAUAUGUUUAUUGCUUUGGACUCACAUGACCCUUUUAAGCUAUAACAUAAAAACAACUCACUAAUGUCUCUUAAAAAUCUUAUUAAGAAAUAAUGUAAAUGAAACGCCAAGGUAAUCUCUACACCAUUCAAAUACCUGCGGAAAGUAAGUGUUUCCCAAUGCAACUCCAGCAACAAGUCCACCGCCAUAUCCAAUCAGAACAACUGUCCAGUAUAAUUCAAAGAAUGAUUCUGAGUCGUCAUCAUCAUCAUCAUCAAAAGUCGAAGGCCCUGCAUGAUCUAUACACUUCUUCACCAAUUGAUCCCCACACAGACCUUGGUUACCCUCAAAUGAAUCAUCUUUGAAUGUGGAAAACUGAUUAUUUUGUGGUAUAGGACCUGUGAGAUUGUUAAAGGACACAUUUAAGUACUCCAAAAAGGUGAUUUCUGCCAACUGUUUGGGAAUUUUUCCUGAAAGACUGUUGAGAGAAAGAUCUAGUGCUUCAAGUUUUGAAAGCUUCCCUAAGGAAGAUGGUAUGCUUCCAAUAAGCAUAUUAUUCGACAAGUUGAGCAAAACAAGACCCUUUAACUCGCCUAUCACUUGUGGUAUCUCUCCACUGAUUUUGUUGCUUGAAAUAUCAAUGGCUAUUAAGCUGUAGAAAUUCUGAAGGUUCUCAUAAACCCUUGAAAACCCUUUGUUUGACAAUGUGAAUGUAUAAAACGUACUUUGUGUUGUACGAAUUUGUCCUGCACUGUUCGAUGUCGAGUAAGAUUCAUACUGUAAUUGACUUGUGUUGGUAGUUUUCAUUGUUUUCCAUCCUUGGAUCAUUUCUGAUGGAAAACUUCCAGAGAAUUCAUUGUGAGAAAGGUCAAUGAUGUGAAGUUUGGGAAAUGUGCAUGUCAUGUUGUCAGAGCACCUAAUGUCUCCAUGAAAUUCAUUGUUACUUAAAGACAAUACCUUCAACUCGGGUAAAUCUUUCAUCCAUAAUGGAAAUGAAUCAUUGAUAUUGUUAUAACUAACAUCAAAGAACUCUAGGCUUCUGCUAUUUACCAAUGCCCUUGGCAACUGACCCUGCAGAAUGUUGUUGCUAAAAUCAAUCCGCUGAAGGGAAUUUCCUAUCAUGUAUGUUUGAGGAAUGGGGCCAGACAAUUUGUUCCCUUUUAGAGCUAGUGUUUGUAAAGAUUGGCUAAAGUUUCCAAGACAUGAAGGAACAUUGCCGCUUAAGUUGUUGAACGCUAAAUCAAGAUAUGUGAGUGAUUUGAGAUUGCAUAUUAAUGGGGUUAUUUCUCCUGUCAAUGAAUUUUGGUUAACAACUAAGCCUUGUAGACUUUCUUUUUCCCAUAACCAAUUGGGUAGCGAUGUUAUAUUGUUUAAUGCCAACGCAAGAUAUUCCAGCUCACCGAGAUCUCUUAUAAAUGUUGGAAUCUCAACUAAAUUGCAUGAAUCCAAUUCUAAGCUUUGAAUUCGAGAAUCGGUCAUAUGGGAAGACCUUUUUCCACUGUACAAUGACAGUUUGUUGAAUGAUAAAUUAAGAACAGCUAGCUUUUUGAGUUUCAGAAACGUGUCAAGCUCUAGCUUUCCAUGCAAAGAAUUAAAGGGUAGGUCCAAGACAACUAAAUUUGUUAGGUUCAUAAUCCAAGAUGGUAUUUCACCCUUUAUAUUGCUAUUUUCUGCACUUAAAAGUACUAGCUGAGUGAGAUUUGCAAAAGAUAAUGGGAUCUCACUGCCAAUAUUGACUGAGGAUAUCUCCAAGGAAAUUAAUGAUGAAAGCUUACCUACCCAUGAGAAUGUCUCAAUAGUAAAUUCAUUGUGACUAAUAUCCAAUAAUCUUAGUUGGGUAAGAUUUGCCAAGGAUGCAGAAGGGUUGCCCCUAAAUUUGUUUUUUGAAAGGUCUAUAUCCAUGAGUUGUGUGAGGUUGCCAAGCGAAGAAGGAAUAUAUCCAAAAAAAUGGCAAUCUGAAAUUGAUAGAAGAAUUAAAGAACUAAGCUUCCCAAUGGAUACUGGCAGUGUACCAUAGAAACCUGUUUGAUCAAGUCCUAACCUGGUGAGUGAACUAGACUGAAACUCAGGCAAACUUCCAUUGAGAUUUGGAUUAUAUCUCAAAUCCAGAAGUUCCAAGUUUGGAAGAUGAAAUACUCCAACCGGAAACGCUCCAUACAAUUCAGAAUUGUAUAGAGAUAGUGCUUUCAACGAAGUUAGAUUUGUGAGUGUCUCUGGUAAAGUAGAUGAAAUUGUCACAAAACUAAGAAAAAGGAUCUCAAUUUUUGUUGAGUUUUGAAUUAUGCUUCUGAGACUAGACAAUUUGAGUUGCAACAAAUUGGAUGUACUACCUUUAGGAUGUACUAUAGCUCUGUAGCCUAGAUCAAGAGACAACAACUUUGACAACUGUGAAACAUGUGGUGGAAUUUCUCCAGAAAAUAAGCUAAGGGAAAGGUUCAGAUGUUUUAAUUGUGAAAGCUGACCUAUCUUGGACGGGAUUGGAGAGUAAUUGAAGUCAUUGUCAGAAAGAUCAAGAACUCGAAGGUGUACAAGGCGAAAGAGACUGCUAUUUGCAUCCAUUUUACCAUAGAGUUGGCUGCUACUAAGAUCAAUGUGAAUCACUUGAUUUGUGUGCUCAUGACAUUUAAUGCCAUCCCAUGAACAACAAUCUGUGCUGGAGUUCCAAGAUGCUGUUUUUGGAUAACCGAGAAGAUUAUCAGAGGCUAAGUUAUUGAUGACAAAGCCUUCCUUAAAUUGCAACAAGGCAUGGCUUUCAUAUUGAUGACACUUUGGCUGAAUUUGAGGAAAACAUGUAGUAAAUGUGAAAGUGAAAAGUGAAUACAGGAAAAGAAAUUUUAGUAACAAAACAAGAGACCUGACAAACACCAUUGUAUUUUAAUAUUUUGAAGUGAAUGUUUUGGAUGAAAAGCUAGACACAUGCUAAGUGAUUCUUAUAGUAAAUGAAAAUGUUUUGUAGUGAAUUUGAUUAUCAUUGACCGUGCAUUUUGGUUUAGCCCGUUGGAGAGGUUAACUUGAUCAACUCCAAAAAUACUUUGUCUCCUUUAUUUCCUUAAAUUCCAGGAAGGUAUUUGCAUCUUGGCUCUUAUCGUAGAUUCUACAACCAAUGCAUAUUAUACAAGACUUUGAUGUAACAUGAUAUGAUCUUUAAUCAAAAUAUGUGGCCAAUCCAAUACAGAAGGUCUAUUUGAUGUUUUAUCAUGUAGUGAGGCUUUCUUAUCUUCCACAUAUUUCAUUUUCUGUCCAUUUUUGGUUUUUCUUUUCUAAUUUCAGUACAUUUGUCUCUAUUGUUUGACUCAGCAAUUUCCUAUGACUUUCUUGCUUCUUGCAUUCUUGGAAAACAAUUUAAUUGACUUAGUCAAUUGUUCUUGUGCAAUUUUAUUUCAUACCGACAUAACAAUUUGUUUUCUCCCUUCAUAUACUCACCAUUUUAUUAUUUGGUUUUAUGCAUAAAAUUCAAUCUAGAACCAUGCAAGAGCUUGCACAAAUUUAUUGAAAAAUUAACUAUUUUAUAUGUACAAAUUUUUUAUUAAAAAACGCAUUUUAGGGAAAAGAUACUUGGAAAAAUGAAUGAAAUUUGUACCGUCCUAAUGUUGAGAUUUCUUACUAUGAUUCGGGGUCUGUUUGAUUGUUUGGAGAGAAGGUUUUGUUGGGAAGAAAAUAAACUAUUGAGAAAUAUUACGUUUUCUUUGUUUGAGAGAUUAUUUGUAGAGAAUAAUAAAUUAAAUAUACUAACAUUAAUAUGUUUUAAAUUUUGAGACUUCUAUAAUAACAUAAAUUGAAUUUAGAAAAUUUAUCUAAAUUCUCUCAUCCAAUGCAAUUUUUGAACUUUCUCAAAUUCGAAGGAUUUUGUAUUGCUCAUGAAAAAUAACAGUUCAAAGUUUUCUCUUUCCAAACCCCAACAUUCUCCCAAAUAGACUCUUGGUGAUGCAAAAAGAGUUAAUCAAGCAAGAGACUAUAGUAUGACAGUUUCUUUUCCCACCUACAAUAAAUACCUCUCACCCUAUUUUGGGAUUCUAAAAUCCAAAAAAAUGGGAGGAUUUUAAAUGUAUUUUAUGCUUUUGAAAGAUACAAUCCAAAAUGCAGUUGGGCACGCAAGAGGCAAAUAAGGUGAGAUAAGAAAUUCACUUAUGGCAUACUUCUAUAUUUUCCUUUUGACAAAAUGUGGCAAUCUUCCUAAGCUUUGCCCCCAAUCUUCUAAAUAAUAUAAGAAAGACAUUAAGAAAGUAAUGCCUGAACAAAUCUAUCAAAGUUUAUUUCAUAAGAAAAUUUAUUAUCACAAUUCACAACAUACAAAUUCAAUAUAAGUGUUUUUAAAUCUGAACAUAAUUUAAUCAAAUUUGACAAAAGAUCUCCCAUCUAUAUUACAGAAGAUUUUACUUAUUUGUAUCACAAUCUUCUCUAGUCUCUAAUGUUCGGCAACUCGGGUGUAGAAUGCAGACACAACAAUUAGUCCAAAUGAACAUACAAGCUAUAACAAUGAGUAAUCAGACUAAAAUAUAAAGACAACACUGUCAUGAACUCUCGACUUUUGAUUCUGAGCCACACAUUCUGAAAUCCACAUAAGAUUUCUUAUCUCCUGCUCCCUUAACCUCAUAUAUGCAAAGAAAACAGCAUAGUGAAACUGCAAAUAUAGACAAAUUAAGAUGGUUUAGUGAAUGAAUAAAACAUACGUACACCAUACAAAAACAUUUAUAAUUAAGCCAGUCAAUAUCCUUGCAGCUUAAUAUUAUGAUAUUCUGAACUGUUAAAAAAAUUAACCUGUUGCUCAAAUGCUAAGCAAUGCCUCUUGACUUCCUCCUCAUAGAAUGCCUUGUCAAGCAUCUGGCUCUCCCCAUACGAUAACUUCGCAAAGAUAGAUUGAUGAGGGUAUUUUUCCAUAACAGCACGAACCUACGCGAGCAACCAUGUAAAAGAAUUAAGGCUAAAAAAGCAAUACUAAAAGAAAUCAACUAGAAAUCAGUGGAUGUUAUAGACAACAAUGAUGAAUCUCAAAUAUUUCAGGGCCGAUACCAACAAGAAAUUGGUAGCCAAAAGCAACUCAAAUUGCAAAUGAAGUAAAAAUGAAAGUGCUCAAAAAUAUAAAAUGAAAGUUUCAAAGAGAUCCCUCAAACAAGAAUCAUCUACAAGUAGGGCAGUCUCCAGGUGGUACAGGUUUAAGGUCAUGCAACGGCAGUUAAACCAGGGAUAAGAGGAAUAAUAUAGUUGCAGCACAUUACAAUGACUUAGGUACUAAUAAAAAAAAAUCGAUAAAUAAUCUACUGCCCUAAGAAACACAAUCUAGAAGGGUCCAAGAAGCAUACAAAUUGAAAGAGGGAAAACACUGUACAUCAGCAAUGCAACAACCAAACGUUUAACACAAUUGAGAUGCAAAUCAUACCUGAUCAAUGUCCUCACAGACAGCAAGCUCCUCAUGACCAUAUGAAUAGCUGUUAAAAAUAAGUUGGUGAUUAGUAAAAUAAGCAUUACAAAUUAGUAUAUUGAUUUUCUUUUUCUUUUUUUUAAAAAUAUUUAACUGAAGGAUUAGAGCUUACAACAAACCGAAGUUAGAGUACAACUUCCUACGGUCAUCUCUGGUAAGCUCAGUUCCAAUGCUGCACAAUGUGGAAACCAUGGAUGCCAGUUAUGCAGAUAUCCAGAUAAACAAAAAGAUUAUACAAAGACUGCUUAGUACUUUACCUAUUGAUGGUAAUAUUAACAGCCCUUCUAUCACUGUCUGUGACACUUUGCAUGGGGAAACUUUCCAAUAUGUCAUCACAAUCCUCCUCUACAUCAAUGUAAGUUGCGGUAACAUGAAAUUGAUUUUUUAUGCAAAUUAUUUCAUUUUUGUUUUACUCUUGAUUUGAAAAACGUUUUUGGUGGUGCAGGGUAGAAUCCUCAUAUAAUGAAGAAAUUAAUUAAAUAUUGCAUGAUCUUUAUUGCUUUUGGAGUAAAAGUAACUAGCAGAAAACGAAGACUAUAUAUAACAAUUCAAUUCAAUUCACCCAUUUGGGGUUGGCCUAGUGGUUGGCUUGGGAUCUUGGAGUUUGCUCCUCCAGAGGUCUCAGGUUCGAUUCCCUCUGGAGCCAAUUUCGGUGGGCUAAGUCCAUACAGAGCUUGCUCUGGCUUUAAAUGGGGCCCCCGCAAGUGGGCGGUGGGAUUGGUCCCUCGGAUUAGUCGAUUCAUGAUCGGAUACCGAGUUUUCAAAAAAAUUCAAUUCAAUUCAAAGCACGCUCUUUCGAACAACCUUUAUUGCUUUUACAUACAAAGGAAACUCUUACAAUAUGCAAUUACAAGAACAGAAGGAAACUAAAACAAAUAAGAACAUAAAUAGAGAGGACUAAUAUCUUUAUUGCAUUCGACUCACAAGACCCUUUUAAACCAUAACAUAAAAACAACUCAUUAAUGUCUCUUAAAAAUCUUAUUAACCAAAAUUAUAACUGAAACGCUAAGGCAAUCUCUAUACCAUGCAAAUACCUGCAGAAAGUAAGUGUUUCCCAAUGCCACUCCAGCAACAAGUCCACCGCCAUAUCCAAUCAGAACUACUGUCCAGUAUAAUUCAAUGAAAGAUUUUGAGUCGUCAUCAUCAUCAUCAUCAGAAGUAGAAGGCCCUGCAGGAUCUAUACACUUCUUUAACAGCUGAUCCCCACACAGACCUUGGUUACCCUCAAAUGAAUCACCUUUGAAUGUAGAAAACUGAUUAUUUUGUGGUAUAGGACCUGUGAGAUUGUUAAAGGACACAUUUAAGUACUCCAAAAAGGUGAUUUCUGCCAACUGUUCGGGAAUUUUCCCUGAAAGACUGUUGAGAGAAAGAUCUAGUGCUUCAAGGUUUGAAAGCUUCCCUAAGGAAGAUGGAAUGCUGCCAAUAAGAUUGUUAUUCGACAAGUUGAGCAAAACAAGACCCUUCAACUCGUCUAUGAUUUGUGGUAUUUCUCCACUGAUUUUGUUGCUUGAAAUAUCAAUGGCUAUCAAGCUGUAAAACUCUUGAAGCUUCUCAUAAACCCUGUCCAUCCCUUUGCUUGACAUUGUGAAAGUAAGAAACUUAUUUGUUGUCACAUGAUAAUGUCUAUUGUUCAACCUCGAGUAAAAUAACUUUUCCUCGUAUUGUAACUGACUUGGGUUGGAAGUUUUCAUUGCUUUCCAUCUAAGGAUCAUUUCUGAUGGAAAAUUUCCAGAGAAAUCAUUGUGAGAAAGGUCAAUGAUAUGAAGCUUUGUAAAUGUGCAUGUCAUGUUUCCAGGGCACCUAAUGACUCCAUGAAAUUCAUUGUUACGUAAAGAUAAUACCUUCAACUCAUUUUUCCAGGGCUUGUGAUUUGCCAGAUAUAGUUACUUGCCUUUUGUUUCAAUCUCAUUUUUGCAUGAACCGCCCUUUCGGGUUUUCGGCUCAUCGAGACGCUUAUUCUUGCCUGAGUUGCGUACAAUCUCAGCGAGCUUUUUCAUAUUUGUUUUUUUUUUGUCCCUUAUUUUUGCCUGGAUCGCCCUUUCGGGUUUUCGAUCCACCGGAAAGCGCAUUUUUGCCUAGGCCGCCCUUUCGGGUUUUCGACCUACCACGCUGUUCUUUUCAUAUUUCUAGGCAAAGUAUUUCUUGACUAUAUCGGCAUUCACUGGAUUUGGAAGUUCUACACCAUCCAUGUGUGUAAGGAUUAAAGCACCACCGGAGAAGGCCUUCUUGACAACAUAAGGACCUUCAUAGUUAGGCGUCCACUUGCCCCUUGGGUCGGGUUGCUGGCUUACCCUCCUUUUCAAUACAAGUUCCCCUACCUUGAAUUCUCGAGGAUGGACUUUCUUGUCAAAAGCAGUCUUCAUUCUUGCUUGAUAUGACUGUCCACGAGCCAUGGCAUCCAUACGUUUUUCCUCAAUCAAAUUCAACUGAUCAUACCGGCUUUGGCACCAUUCAGCCUCAGAUAACUUUGCUUCCAUGAUCACACGGAGAGAUGGGAUCUCCACUUCCAAAGGAAGAACUGCUUCCAUACCAUAUACAAGAGAGAAAGGGGUUGCCCCAGUUGAACUGCGCACAGUAGUACGGUAGCCAUGCAGAGCAUAGGGUAACAUCUCAUGCCAGUCCUUGUAAGUGGUUACCAUCUUCUGGACAAUCCUCUUGAUAUUCUUGUUGGCGGCCUCAACUGCACCAUUCAUCUGAGGUCUAUAGGGAGAAGAGUUAUGAUGCUCGAUUUUGAAUUCUUCACAAAGAGCUUGCACCACAUUGUUGUUCAGGUUGGUACCAUUGUCGGUAAUAAUCUUGCUGGGAACACCAUAUCGACAGAUGAUGUUGUUCUUGAUGAACUUAGCUACCACUUGCUUGGUCACAUUGGUAUAAGAUGCUGCUUCAACCCAUUUGGUGAAGUAGUCAAUUGCCACUAAGAUGAAACGAUGACCAUUUGAAGCCUUCGGUUCAAUUCUUCCAAUCAUGUCGAUGCCCCACAUUGAAAACGGCCAUGGGGAUGAAAUAACAUUGAGAGCGUGCGGAGGCACAUGAAUCUUAUCAGCAUAGAUUUGACAUUUGUGGCACUUUCUGGCAUACUGGUAGCAAUCAUGCUCCAUGGUCAUCCAGUAGUAACCUGCUCGUAACAACUUCCUUGACAUAGUAUGCCCUGUAGCAUGGGUCCCGAAGGUACCGUCAUGUACAUCAUGCAUUAACUGCUCUGCUUCAUGUUCAUCAACACAUCUUAACAAUACCAUGUCAUAGUUUCUCUUGUACAGAAUAUCUCCAUCUAACAGGAAUCUACUGGCCAAUCUUCUCAGGGUCUUCUUAUCUUGUUUGGAAGCACCCGGCGGAUACUCACGGCUCAGCAAGAACUGUUUGAUGUCGUAGUACCAGGGUUUAUAGUCAACCACAUUUUCACCAGCCUGAUCGAUCACAUCCCCAAUAGCAAACACAUGUGAAGGUCUUUCAAGGCGUUGCACUUUGAUUAUUGGCACAUCAUUCCAAUGGUUUACUCGGAACAUGGAGGAUAGAGUAGCAAGAGCAUCAGCCAUUUGGUUCUCAUCACGAGGAAUAUGGUGCAGCUCAACCUUUGUAAAAUAUGUCAGCAAACGUCUAGCAUAAUCACGAUAAGGAAUCAACUUAGCAUGGUGGGUCUCCCAUUCACCCUUUAUCUGAUUGAUGACGAGCGCAGAAUCUCCAUAGAUGUCGAGGUGUUUGAUUCUCAUGUCAAUUGCUUCCUCGAUCCCAAAGAUACAUGCUUCGUAUUCAGCCAUGUUGUUUGUACAUUCGAACAGAAUCCGGGCUGUAAAAGGAAUGUGAUGCCCUUGCGGGGAUACAAUGAUUGCCCCAAUUCCUUUACCAUAAGCAUUGACAGCACCAUCAAAGACUAAACCCCACUUGCUAUUGGGAUCUGGACCUUCACCAAUCAACGGUUCUUCGCAGUCUUUUGAUUUCAAAUACAUGAUCUCUUCAUCGGGGAAAUCAAACUCAAUUGGUUGGUAAUCAUCAAGAGGUUGGUAGGCAAGAUGAUCGGCAAGAAUGCUACCUUUGAUUGCCUUUUGAGUUUUGAACACAAUAUCAUAUUCAGACAAAAGCAUCUGCCAGCGUGCAAUCUUCCCAGUAACAACAGCUUUCUCAAAGAUAUACUUUAUCGGAUCCAUUCUGGAUAUCAACCAAGUUGUAUGAUUCACCAAAUAAUGACGCAGGCGUUUAGCGGCCCAGGCCAAAGCACAACAAGUCUUCUCAAGCAUUGUAUACCGAGUUUCACAAUCGGUGAACUUCUUGCUUAGAUAGUAGAUAGCAUGUUCUUUCUUUCCAGUCUCAUCUUGUUGACCAAUUACGCAUCCCAUGGAUUCAUCAAAUACUGCCAAAUACAUAAUCAAAGGUCUUCCUUCCACGGGUGGGACAAGGAUAGGUGGUUCCAGCAGGUAAUUCUUGAUGCUAUCAAAAGCUUCUUGACAUUCAUCAUUCCAUACAAUAGGUUGAUUCUUUCUGAGUAGCUUGAAGAUCGGCCCGCAGGUUGCGGUCAUGUGAGAUAUGAAUCGGGAGAUGUAAUUCAAACGUCCGAGGAAACCUCUGACUUGCUUCUCGGUAUGUGGAGCUGGCAUUUCUCGGAUGGCCCGGACUUUAUCAGGAUCGACUUCAAUGCCUUUUUGGCUGACAAUGAAGCCUAAUAACUUCCCGGAUCUGACGCCGAAUGUACAUUUGUUGGGAUUCAAUCGAAGCUUGUAUUUUCUCAACCUUUCGAACAUCUUUGUCAAAUAUUCAACAUGUUGCUCCUCAUCUGUUGACUUUACAAUCAUGUCGUCCACAUAUACUUCGACUUCUUUGUGAAUCAUGUCAUGAAACAGAGUAGUCAUCCCUCUUUGGUAGGUGGCACCAGCAUUUAUUAAGCCGAAUGGCAUCACUUUAUAGCAGAAAGUACCCCAUGGAGUGAUAAAAGACGUCUUUUCCCUAUCUUCAGGAGACAUUUUGAUCUGAUUGUAACCGGAGAAACCAUCCAUGAAGGAGAACACCUUAGACUGAGCAGUAUUAUCAACGAGCACAUCAAUAUGAGGUAAUGGAAAGUUGUCUUUUGGACUAGCUUUGUUCAGGUCUCUGAAGUCAACACACAUCCGGACUUUACCAUCCUUCUUUGGCACAGGUACAAUAUUGGCAACCCAUUCAGGGUACUCAACUGUCAUGAGGAAACCCGCAUCAAUUUGUUUUUGAACCUCGCUCUUAAUCUUGAGAGCCAUAUCUAGAUGAGUCCUUCUCAAUUUCUGCCUGACGGGAGGACAUUCAGGCUUGGUGGGGAUCCGAUGCUCCACAAUCAUAGGAUCUAGACCUGGCAUAUCUUCAUACGACCAUGCAAAAAUAUCCGGAUAUUCCCGGAGGAGUUGGAUGAUCUUCUUUUUAACCCCUUCCUCUAGAGCAGCACCGAUCUUGAUCUCUUGCUUGUUUUCCUCGGUACCUAUGUUGAUAAGCUCAAUCUCUUCCUGGUGAGGCUGAAUGGCUUUCUUUUCUUGCUCAAGUAACCGAGUGAUCUCAUAUGGUAUGUCAUCACCUUCCUCAUCUUCGGCCUCAUACACUGGGAAUUCAAAAUUCGGAGGGAAUGCAGGGUUACUGUGCCCAACGGGUUUAUUAUAGUUUAAUCUGCGUAAAAUGGUUGGAUGAUUUUAGAAAGGGGUUUUUUAUGCAGAUUUUUGAAAUUAAUAAGAAAAAUACAGAUGUUUUGGUUUUUUCUGGCAUUACCAUUAUUUCCAAGGAAAAAAGGCACUAAAAAAAAGCAGCCGUGAAAGAAACGACAAUUUUUUUUUUUUAUCAACGGCAAUGCCGAAACAAACAUGCCCUUACAGAAAAUAUCACUCUCGCUUUGGGCAGAGCGAGAGGAUUGUUAUUUUGAAAAACAAAAGCACUAAAGCAACAAGACACAUUACUCGGAAACAUGCAUGAUUGAAGGAAUGAUGAUGGCAUCCCAAUUUCUCGCAAUGCCUCCUGGUAUAACAAACAUAGGCCUAUGAUCAAAUCCAGUCGCCUUUUCAGUAAUUGCAUUGACAAACCCAGCACUGUAGAAGGUUCCUGUGGAGACUCCUGAAGUUGGGGAAUAUCCGAGACCCUCUUUGUGCUUAUUCUCAAGGAGUUGUAUUAACUUGCCCCAGCCAGCAGCUUGUCCUUCUUGGAUGUCAUUGACAGUUAGAUAAUUGUCGUUCAUCAGGCUCUGGAUGUCAUUCUGAACAACGUAGCAACCCCAAGGAUUAUGGAAGCAUUCUGGGCAACUGGCAUGAUCAUGGUCAAACAGAGAGGCUUGGCAUAAUUUGAUGUGUAGUGGCACCAGAGGAGUUGUAACAUUACGGACGUCCAGUCCGGGAGCUUCCUCAUAUACCUCAAUCAUGUUCACAGCAGCGUGAUUUGGAAGAGGGUUGUCGAGGACAUGAGGGACGUUGUUCUCAAAAGUCAACUUUCCUUGGUUAAUGAGCUUCUUCACAAUGUAUUUCAAAGCAUAGCAUCCUUCGACAUCAUGACCCAGAGCACCUUGAUGGAAAUCACAUUUGAGGUCAGACCGGAACCUGGGAGGUAACGGAUCAGGUGGAGGCUUCCCCUGUCUGAUUGUGCAGUGCCCUCUGAGAAGUAGAGUCGGGAGCAACUCAGCAUAUAUCAUUGGUAUCAGAGGAAAGGUAGGUCUAGCUUGUUGCUGCUGUCGUUGUUGGUGAACCGGUGGAUGAUUGUUCCUGGGCGGCUAGCAGAGCAGUCAUGGUGUCAUUGGCCUUAGCCAAUUCUUCCCUCAGAGAAGUUAACUCGGUACGGAGCUGAACAUUUUCUUCUUCCAUAGCUACCAAAUUCUUCUUUCUGUACAAUCUAGUCCGAUGGAUUCUGUCAGGUUCGUAGAUUUUUCGAGCACGAGCCACCUUUUGAACUGCGGCAGAAGAACCAGGAGGCAGUGAGCACUUGGAAGCUUUUGUGAUUGAUGAAUGAUGCAUAUGAUGCAUGAUAUGUACAAAUGCAAAUGCAAAAAUGACUCUUUUUGUCAUCGAAGGGUUUUUUAGACAAAUCAGAAACUUUGUAAACAUUAUUUAACAAGAUCUCAAUAGCGUUCAUAUCCACAAAGCUGUCAAGAUUCGGAAAGAGAAUGAGCCCAUAGAUAAGCAAUGCAAGAAUAGCCUCGAGUGCGUCCUGACAAGUAGCUUCGAGAUUAGCUUGCUCAAGUAGAUACUUGGAAGUGAACCCUCGGAUGUGAGACUUGGUAGUAAGAUGCUUGGAGACAUCAGAAGUCUUGAGAUAGGGAUCCUUGGCAAUGACCAGAGGAGUAAGAGAAGUCCCGGGACCGGUGAAAGGCGUCUUCUCGGCUAUAGGUAAACCCACUAGAUUGGAGUAAGCCUCGAGAGUAGGAACCAACUGGAAGUCCGGGAAAGUGAAGCAACGGAAGCUCGGAUCAUAAAAUUGCACUAGAGUGUGCACUAGCUUCUCUUCCACAUCGGUUCGGAGCAAAGUAAGCAAUCCCCCAUACCGGAGUCGGAACCCUGUUUGACUCUUGACCUUGAGUGCCAACUCUCUUAAACUGACCAAAUCCACUUCCUUGAACUUGUAGCACUUAGUCUUCUUCAUACCUGUGAUUAUUUACAAAAAUUUCCAUUUGUUUAAGCCCUUCGAUGAAUGCAUGAAAAAUGUUUAUGUAUGAAUGCAUGUAUGCAUGAUUGUGUUGUUUAGUUACAAAGAACAAGGUGGGUUGAGAUUCAAAGUAACAGGGCCACGGAUGGACACGGCGUCCGGUGAACUAAGGCUUUGGAUAGUAGUAACCAAGGUUCUAACACAGUUCCCAAACUGCAACCUCUCUCACAUAUAUCAUGGUAGUACAGGACGACACCCGUUCCAUGAUUAUUUGUGAGAAGGUCUAGUUUGAGUGUAGUAUCGCGUGACGACUAAAGUUUGAGACAACACUCAAUUUAGCCACCGCACUACGUCCUAAAAGGCUAGGAUGGGUUUGGUAACUACGGUUCAUAGCUUCGUCGAACAAUUGAAAGUGAAGUGCCUAAGCAUGACAACACACGCCGACAAUAUCACCUUCAAAAUGCCUCAGCUAUGUGAGAUUGAUCGCAUAAUCCAAUACACGAGGCAACCCCCGGAUCGAAUUGUCGAUUAUAUCUCUACCUAAACAUAAGUUCACUCAGCCCGGGUAUAGGACUUUUGAUAUUCUCACCCCACACGUCAAAUGAAAGUAAACAAAAUUUUCACAUGUAUGAAUAAUAAAGUAAAACAUAAGCAAAAAGAAAACUAGGUGUGACCCGCUCUAAGAAAAAAAAGUCCCCAGUGAAGUCGCCAUUUCUGUUAUCGCGAUUUCGGGUGUCAAGCCAUUGAUUGGACUUGAACCUUUCAAUCCUCGAUGUUCUCUAUUUUUUUUGGGGAAAGGUAAAUGGAGAGAAACCCUUAAAAAGUUCUAGGUUCGGGGGUCGAUUUCGUUACGGGAAGGUGUUAGGCACCCGUCGCGACUAUAGUAUCCUAUAGGAACCGUUUUCUAAUUUUGCCUAUGCUUUACUUUUUAUAUUUAUGAAAGGAAUGUUGUUUAUCAAGAAUGGAGGGAGAGAUAGUUGAGUUUGAUUUUAUUUAAAAAAUGAUUUUUGAAGAGGAGGAGAGAAGCCGUAAGGCAUAGAAGAAAAAUGUCGAAUUUGAUCUUUAUUUUUAUUUCACAAAAAGGCAUUGGAGUUUUGACUCCAAAGUUUGUUUGAAAAAAUUUAGCCUAUUUCGAAGAAGAAAUUUCACUAGGCGUCGAAUUCCUAAACAUACACCUAAAUCGAUAAUCAUGCAACGUGUGUGCGAGUGUCGGUGCUUGUGUCGGUGUACAUUAUUAGAGAUAAUCCAUAGUCCGUUACAUUUUGUCCUAGUAUACAUUCUAUGGUCUUGCGAAAAUUAAAAGAAAGCUAAACUAAAAUUAUUACAAGCCAUUUGACAUAGAAAUAAAAGUGGGAAGAAACCAAACUAAUGGAGAUAGUGGUGAAAUGGAGAAAUACUCAUGAAAUGAAUGGAACAAAAGAAGUGAGAUGAUUAGUAAAAUAAAGCAUAGAAUAAAAGAAGUGCACAAAAAAUAUUAAGAGGAAAGACAUAAAAGAAACUAAUAAAGUGACAAAAUGUGCAUGAAAAUGGUUAUAAGGCUCUAGCAUAUGUAUGACCCAUAAUCCCUUCAUUAUGGCAUUUUUAGAAGUCUUGCUUUGUGCCAUAAUGUGGAAAAAAAAAUGGGACAUAUUUGAUGCUAAAGUUUAUGGCACACUUUCAAAAUAUUUUGGCACUUUAUUUACUAGUAAAAAUGCAUACUAAUUGCAAGACAAGAAGGGAAAUGAAAUUGAGAUACACAAGCAGCAAGUUAAACAUGUAAUCAGCAACAAACUUAUCACAAAAUUGCAUCCCAAAAAUUCAUAUCACAUGUCAACAUUUCAUGAGGAAUACACUACUAAAAAAUGCACAAAUUUAUGUCUAAAUACACUAAUUAACCAAGAAAUAUCACAUGCUUUUUUUUAUCAUUUUAAAACCAUUGAGAAGUAUAAAAAAAACAUGAAAAUACAUCAAGAAACAUGUGAUAAUUUUUGGAGAUUUUUUAGAGAAAAUUUAAGCAUGCAGAGGUUCAAACAGCAAAGAAAUAUGGUGCAGAUAGCAAGAAAAAAUAGCAAAAAAAGACAAAGAAAGGCCCAAACCCAAGUCUAAAGAUCUGGAAGCACAGGAAGCGUUGGAUUAAUCUGAAGGUUGAGAAAGAAAGGGAAGAACUGAAAAUAAACCGGACCGGUUCAGAGUUCUAUAUAAGUGAUUUGAUUCCGGUUUUUUUCAUUUCCUCCUUUCCUUUCUCUUUCUUCUUUCUUCUAGAGAGAGAAGCUCUCCCCUCUCUCUAGAAACACGGUGCCGGCGAUGAAGAGGGAGGUGGCGGCCGACCCUAGCGCCGCCGCGCCGGAAUUUUUCUCUUUUUUUUUUUUUUUAAAUUUUAUACCAAAAGUUUCGUUUCCUCCUCCUCUACUCAAAUCCGGUGCUAGUUUUAAAAAGGGGUGAGAGAUUCGUCGUAGAUCUACGUUUGAACUUUCGGAAUUUUUUCACUCUUUUUGUAAAAAAAAACUUACGGAUCUAGAUAUCCUUUUCGCUCUAGAGUCCGAAUCCGGCCUCAAAAUUUCAAAAAUCCGAACGUACAAGCCUAGAUCUACAAAUCUUGAUUCGUAACAAACUUUUCACAUGUGUAUAUGCGCGAAAACGAGGGAAAAAAGUGUUACCGUCGUCGUGAAACGGAGAAAAAAAAUCCGAGCCUCCUCUUCUCUCCGCCGCGCGCGCGCGGAUUUGCUCCGGUGGUGCCGCUUUUGCUCGAAAAUCCGGUACGGAUUUGGUGUUGGUGUGAUGAUUCGCGGUGGUUUUGAAUGAUUCCGGUUCGGAUUUGUUGAUUUUGUGAUGAUUUGAGUUGGUUUUGAGUGAAUCCGGUUCGGAUUUGUUGAUUUUGUGAAGAUUUCUUCUUGGUGUUCUUGGAGAAUUUUUGGUGAUUUUCUGUUUUGGAUCUAACUGAUUUUGGAGAGAGAAAGAAAUUUCUGUUUUUGUGAUGUGACUGAUUCUGAUUUUUUUUAUUUGGAUCUGACCCAUCUAUUUAUAGCCUGCCAUGUGUAUUUGUGGGCCAAUGAGAAAAUGCCAUCUGGACUGGGACUGAAGUGUGCGAAAAUUCUGGACAAAAAUGCCCCUGGGACCUUUUCUGCAAAAAAAAAUAAUAAAAAAGGACUGGACAGCAAUUAAAAAUGGACAAAAAAAAUGAAAAUUAAAAGGUUUUGGACUAAAUUGUGAUUUAAAAAUAAAAUUGAACUAAAAAAAGUAAUUUUGACAAACGUAAAGUGAAACUAAAAUUAAAAUCAACAAAAGGACUAAAACGAACCAAUUACUGACAUGAGGUAUUUUAAAAUACCUCCCUGUCGAAAUAUUAAUAGGAAAAGACCAAAAUGCCCCUAGAGACUAAACUGACUCAAACUGACUCAGAUGCAAUUUUUGAAAUGAUUUUUAAACAAAGACUCAACAAUGAUUUGUACAGACAAGUUGAAAAGACUCAGAGGCAAACACAGGGACUAAAAUGGGUUCCACUGCAGGAAAUGACCAAAAUACCCUUUUGUAUGAUUUUUGAAAUAAAAUGCAAGAAAAGUGAUGCGACGUUUCAGAGAGUUCUUAAAUGACUUGUAACAUCAGAAAAGACAGAGGCAGUAAAAUAUGUUUAAAAAAAGAGUAAAGAUUCAGAGUAAAAUAACAGAGAACUGACAAGUAUCAGUGUUACAAAAGAAAUUUGAACGAGUAUUUUUAGGUCCAAAAUCAGGGUAUAACAAGACUCAUGAGUGACUUGAGAUUGCAUAUGGAUGGGGAUAUUUCUCCUGUCAAUGAAUUUUGAGAAACAUCUAAGUUUUUUAGACUUGCUUUCUUCCACAACCAAUUGGGUAGCGAUGUUAUAUUGUUGUUUGACAACAUAAGAGAUUCCAGAUCAUCCAGAUAUCUUAUAUAUGUUGGAAUCUCAACUAAAUUGCAUGAAUCCAAUUGUAAGAUUUGAAUACGAGAAUCGGUCAUAUUUGAAGAACUUUUCCCACUAUACAAUGACAGUUUGUUGAAUGAUAAAUCUAGAAAAACUAGCUUUCUGAGCUUCAGAAACGUGUCAAGCUCUAGCUUUCCAUGCAAAAAAUUAGAGCGUAGGUUCAAGCAUGCUAAAUUGGAAUGAUUCAUUAUCCAUGAUGGAAUUUGACCCUUUAUAUUGCAAUCUGUUGCAUCUAAAUAGUGUAGCUGGGUGAGAUUUGCAAAAGAUAAUGGGAUGGUUUCGAUAUUAAAUUCAUUCAAACCAACAGCCAAGACACUUAGCUUGUUAAGAUUUGCCAAGGAUGUAGAGGGGUCCCCCCUAAAUUUGUUAUCUCUAAGGUAUAUCUCCGUGAGUUGUGUGAGGUUUCCAAUUGAAGAAGGAAUAUACCCAGAAAAAUGGCAAUGUGGAACUGAUAGGAUAAUCAAAGAACUAAGAUUUCGAAUGGAUACUGGGAGUGUGCCAUAGAAACCUGUUUUGUCAAGUAGUAAGUUGGUGAGUGAACUAGAUUGAAACUCAGGCAAACUACCAUUGAGAUUUGGAUUAUAUCCCAAAUCCAAAAUUUUCAAGUUUGGAAGAUGUAAUACUCCAACUGGAAAUUCGCCAUACAGCUCAGAAUUGUAAAGAGAUAGUUUUUUCAACGAAGUUAGAUUUGUGAGUGUGUUUGGUAAAGUAGAUGAAAUAGUCACAAAACUAAGAAAAAGGAUCUCGAGUUUUGUUGAGUUUUGAAUUAUGCUUUUGAGAAUGGACAAUUUGAGUUGCAGCAGAUUUUCUGUCGCCAUGAAGCCUAGAUCAAGAGACAACAACUUAGACAACUGUGAAACUUGUGGUGGAAUUUCUCCGGAAAAUAAACUACGAGAAAGGUUCAGAAAUUUUAGUUGUGAAAGCUCGCCUAUCUUGGAUGGGAUUUGAGAGUAAUUGAAGUCAUUGUCAGAAAGAUCAAGAACUCGAAGGUGCACAAGGCGAAAGAGACUGCUAUUUGCAUCCAUUGUACCAUAGAUUUGGCUGCUCCUAAGAUCGACGUGAAUCACAUGAUCUGUGCGCUCAUGACAUUUAAUGCCAUCCCAUGAGCAGCAAUCUGUGCUGGAAUUCCAAGAUGCUAUUUUUGGAGAACCAUGGGCUAAGUUAUUGAUGACAAAGCCUUCCUUAAAUUGCAACAAGGCAUGGCUUUCAUCACCAUGACACUUUGGAUGAAUUUGAGGAAAACAUGUAGUAAAUGUGAAAGAGAAAAGUGAAUAAAGGAAAAGAAAUUUUAGUAACAAAACAAGAGACCUGACAAACACCAUUUUAUCUUCCACAUAUUUCAUUUUCUGUCCAUUUAUGGUUUUCGCUUUCUAAUUUCAGUACAUUUGUCUCUAUUUGACUCAGCAAUUUCCUCUGAUUUUCUUCCUACUUGCAAUUUUGGAAAACAAUUUAAUAUUUUGACUUAGUCAAUUAUUCCUGUGCAAUUUUAUUUCGUAUUAGACAACAAUUUGUUUUUCCCUUUCAUAUACUCAAUAUUUUAUUAUUUGGUUGUAUGCAUAAAAACUUUAAUCUAGAACUGACUAUCAAUUUUAAGGCAUUGGAGCCUUCCAUGCAUUACCAAGAAGGCUACAUCAUUAAAUACUAAAUUGCUUUUAUUAUCUUUGAGAUUUCAUCUUAAUUGUUGAUAAUGAUAUUUCCAACGAAAUGAGUUAAGUUUUCACGUUCACAACAAAAACAACAUGAAAUUUUAUAAGGAUAAUGAUUUUUUAGUGCAAAACACCUUAAACGAAAUUCAACGAAGAGUUAUAACAUUAGUUUUGUUUCCAUCCAUCCAUCCAUGUAUUCCUUUAAAUGGAACUAUUUUAGUAUUAUUUUUAAUUAAAAAAAUAAUUUUGAUCGUAACUACCCCGUGUAUUCCGUAAACUGGGUGUAAAGUUAUUAGCUUCAAAUUAAAAAGGUACAAGUAUAGUGCAUCCCUUGCACACAUUCGUCACUUUUCGCACAAAAAGUUUUGCACCAUAUAUCAUUGUCCUUUUUAUAAUUGUAAAUUGGAUAUCCAAAAAUCGAUCCAAUCUAAACAUUUAGUUGGAUCAGAUUUUUGUCACAACAAAUUUCUUAAUCCCUAAUAUGCAUCAUUGAGAGAUUUUUUUGAAGGAAUGCAUAAUUGAGAGAUGUUAUGCAUCAUUGAGAGAUAAUCACCAAAGUUUCAAAUUAUGAGAAAUCUUUAGUACAAUUCCAUGUAUUCUCUGGUGAACUAAAAAAUGCUUAGAUUAGAUGGCACGAGUCUAUUCUAACUUCAUCAAGGUCCUGGGUUCGAAUCUAGCUAUGUUUGGGCAUGCAGUGUUAAAAACUUUAGGGAGAGUUUUCCUCCCAUUUGGGGGAGGAUUAGUCUUCUUCGAAGUUUCGCGCGUGAAAGAUACCCAGUUUACACACAAAAAAUGUAUUCUCUGGUGAAAAUAUGGGAGAUUAAUUUCUUAGUAGUGAAGGCAACGUGAAAGAAAAGUAGCAUAGCAUCCCAAUAAUUCUAGCAUAUCUCCCUAGUGUGGUAUAUGCAAGGACUAUAGCAUAGUUCACUAGUUGUAUUUGCCCUCUGAAAAAAUGUGGUAAUCUUCCUACUCCUUGGCCCUUUGAAAGACAUUAAGAAAGCAAUACCUACUUGCUUAGACCAAUCUGUCAAAGUUUAUUCCAUAUGAAAAUUUAUUACAAAUAUCACAAUUCACAACAUUCAAAUUCAAUAUAAGCGUUUUUAAAUCUGAACAUAAUUUAAUCAAAUUUGACAAAUGAUCUCCCAUCUAUAUUACAGAAGAUUUCACCAGCAUAAGAUUUAUUUGUAUCACAAUCUUCUAACCAGUGACUGUCUAGUACAAGCCAUAACAAUGAGUAAUUAGACUAAAAUAUAAAUACAACACUGUCAUGAACUCUCGACUUUUGAUGCUGAGCCACACAUUCUGAAAUCCACAUAAGAUUUCUGAUCUCCUGCUCCCUUAACCUCAUAUAGGCGAAGAACACAACAUAGUGAAACUGAAAACAUAGUCAAAUUAGGAUGGCUUAGUGAUGAAUAAGAUAUAAGAACACUAUACGAAAACAUUUAUAAUUAAGCAAAUGAAUUUCCUUCCAGCUUAAUAUUAUGAUAUUCUGAACUGUUAAAAAAACAAACCUGUUGCUCAAAUGCUAAGCAAUUCUUCUUGACUUCCUCCUCAUAGAUUUCCUUCCUUGUCAAGCAUCUGACUCUCUCCAUACGAUAACUUAUCAAAGAUGGAUUGAUAAGGAGGGCAUUUUUCCAUAACAGCACGAACCUACACGAGCAACCAUUUAAGAGAAUUAAGGCUCAAAAAGCAAUACUAAAAGAAAUAAACUAGAAAUCAAUUGAUGUUAUGGACAACUAUUAUAAUUCUCAAGUAUUUCAGGGCCGGUGCCAGCAAGAAAUUGGCAGCCAAAAGCAACUAAAAAUACAAAUGAAGUAACAGGCAAUCGAUGAAAGUUCUCAAAAAAUGAAAUGAAAGUUUCAAAGAGAGGUUAAGGUCAUACAACAGAACUUAAACCAAGGAUAAGAGGAAUAAUAUAGUUGCAACAUAUUACAUUGACAUGGCUACUAAUUUAGAAACAACUCUACCACCCUAAGAAACACAAAUUGAAAGACGGAAAACACAGACAGCAAGUUAUGGUAAUAUUCACAGCCCUCCUAUCGGCCUCAAAAGCUAGAAGGUCAGACAUUAUCUCAGCAGUAGCACCACCAAGUUUCUGUUUGUGAAUAACAUUGAAGACGUUGAUGAAAGUCAGGGGGAAAUCACAAGGGAAUACAAAUAAAUAGCUGACAAAAAAGAGAGUUGGACACUUCACCUGACAAAAAAGAGAGUUGGACACUUCACCUGACAAAAUCUGUAAAAGUCUUCAAGGUAUGCCUUGUAAAGAGUGUUCCUCAUUAUUUUGAUGUUCAUGUCAUCCAAGUCCUGAAAAUUAACCAAAACCAUGAGCACAUACAUCAAAAAAAUAAACCAAUUUCAUAUAAACAUAUUAGGUUAAAACGGAAAUUAUAAACUAUUAAAGUCAGUGAUGCCAUUGCAUAUAAUAUCAAAGUAUUGUCUUCCAGUGCCUUUCAGUUUUUGAUAAUUUUACAUUACAUUUUUUUAUUACAAUCUUUUUUUCUUACAACAAACAAUCUAUAUUGUAUAAUAAUUAGAGGGUAGAUAUAGAUAAUUUUCAGUUUCUGCAAUAGAACAACAAUUCUAUCAUGUGACCAUAUCUGCAGAGUAAAAAUGAAAAUACAUUCAUUUCAGAUUUUCUUACACACACAAUAAUGAUUUGAGAAAAUGAAAGGAAUGAAAUAUAACUGCAUGUCCGACACCAAACACGUUUUAAAUCUGAAGUUUCUGGUGUUACAUAGACUUGUGCUUCUAGUAAAUACACUGACAGAGCAAACAGAAAAUGCAAAGUUCAGAUACAUGAUAUAUUCUAAAAAUGUUGACAACGGUUCUGUAGCUUGGCAUGGCAUAUGCUUGACAAUGGUUUUGGAUGGUACUACAUCAUAUCAUUGAGUAUACACCCUUGUACUAAUAAUACACUGAAAAUUGAAUAAAUAAUUUAGGAAAUGUUUAUAAUUAUUAAACAAUCAAUUAAUCAAGAAACGAUAAUGUUGAGAACAAAUUGAGAUCAAAUUAAUCCGAAAAACAAAAAUGCCAAGUUAUGGAGAUAAGGAUCCUAGAAGAGACAUGCAUCUUGAUGUCAUCCUAACGCUGUUAAUACGCUUAUCUCUUUGUUCUUUAAAGCAAAUAUUCUACCAUUAGAUUUCAGCAUAAUGUUAGAGGGUUUUGGGUUACCAUAUGUUCAGUACGAAGUUUCCACUGUCGUUUACAAGUAACUAAUCUCCGUAGAAAAACUUGUGGUCAAACAAAGUGAGUUAUGAAUCAAAAUAAAGUGGGUCAAUCAAGUGUUUCACAUAUCAAUAUAAAUUUUUUGGAUUCUUAGUUUAGCCACAAUUUUAUGAAUUUAAUUUCACGUUUUCUUUCAAAUUCAAUUUGUUUUAGGCUGCAACCUAAAGAGAUCUAUCUACCUUGUUUGAUUUCUCAACACUAUCGGAUUCAGACCGCUAGGCACAUUACUCAUUUUGCUUCUUCUUAUGUUUAUGCAUUGAUGAUUACUUUUUUAUUUACUACUUUAUUCAGAGGCAUAUAUCAAUUACUAAAUUGGACCGAAGUUAAGCACCUUUAAUCAGUAAAGGAGACAGUCAUUUAUUUGUUUCUUUUUCUUCCUAAUUGGCUUAAUCCCUUCACUUAUAGACUCUCUUGAUAUCCUUAUACAUUUAAUGUAGAAAUUGAUUAAAUAUUGCAUCAUCUAGAAUGACUUCAAUGUUGGAGUAAAAAUAACUAGCAGGAAAAGAACACUAUAAAUAACAAUUCAAUUAUAGGCCACUAGAAUUAUACUUUUUGGGUUUUGAGAUUAAACCUCAUUGAAAUACCAAAAUAUAAUUCAAAGAAUGCUCUUGCUAUAAAUACAUAGAGUUUUUGGUGUUCAAACAACCUUUAGUUCAUAAUAUUAUAAGAACAAAAGGAAACUAAAGCAAAUAGAGAGGACUUAGAUGUUUAUUGCUUUGAAACUCCAGCAAAAAGUCCACCGCCAUACCCAAUCGGAACUGCUUUCCGUUCUACCCUGAACGAAUGUUGAGAGAAAGAUCUAGUGCUUCAAGGUUAGUUGUUUGAGAAGUUGAGCAAAACGAAACCUUUCAAGUCGCCUAUGACUUUUGGUAUCUCAUGGAGCUUUCUAGUUGAGCAAAGCUUGCAUGAUUAUUUUUCCUUGAAAUAUCAAUUGCAAUUGUAGUGCAAAACUCUUGGAGCCUAUCUAGAUGAUGAAGUCUUCCUUAUUGAUUCAAAAAGAUAAAGUCUUCCUUAAAUUGCAACAAGGUAUGGCUUCAUCUAUACGACACUUUGGUUGAAUUAAAGGAAAAACAUGUAGUAAUUAUGAAAGAGAACAAUGAGUAAAGGAAAAGAAACUGGACUAAAAAAACAAGAGACCACAGAAACACCAUUCUAUCUUAAUCUUUUAAACUGAAACAUUGAGAUAAAAUACUAGGCAUAUAUUAUUGAUAAUAAUUUUCAGGGAUGUUCAUCAAACUGAUUAGGAUUAAGUAGGACUUCUUCGUUCCGAUUUUCACAAUUUAAUUGCAGAACUAUUUUGUUUUUGUUAGGUUAAAUUGCUUAUAGUCAAUAUUCUUUGUGUUCUACUUUGCCUCUCUCAGUCAUCAAUGGAAAAUACUUUUGCUCCUUCAUGAAUGUCAUAAUUUUUUUUCAUUACUGGAAAAUAUUUUUGCUACUUCAAGAAAGGCUGUAAAUUGAUAACUUAAGGCAUAUAAGUUGUGGUAAAAGGAAACUAAAACAAAUAAGAACCAUACAAAGGAAACUCUUACAAUAUGCAAUUACAAGAAAACUCUUACAAUAUGCAAUUACAAGAACAGAAGAUAACUCUUACAAUAUGCAAUUACAAUUAUAAUUGCUUUUACAUAAAAUGGAAGACUAAGAUGUUUAUUGAGUUUGGACCCAAAAAAACACUCACUUAUGUCUCUUAAAAAUCUUAUUAAGCAAAAUUAUAACUGAAACGCCAAGGUAAUCUCUAUACCAUGUGUGAGAGUUAACUUAAAAUCAGAAUUCUGGAGUAUCGCGCCACGAUUGGUGAAGCAAAAUUCUGAGGAAGUUUCUGGAAAUUUCGUACCACGAUGGCUCCGUAUCGUGGCACGAUGGUCGCGCUGAAGAUAUUUUUAAAACGUAUUUUUUAGCAAGAUUUGUUUCAGUUUUUUAAGGGUUACUCUCCACUAUAAAUACAAGCCUUGAAAAACAAGGUUUAGAAGCCAACAUACAAACUAGGGUUUAUAGAGAUUUUCUCUUGGCAACAACUCUAGGGUUGGGAUUGUUGUUGAUUCACCUUGGACAAAACACUAUUAGGAUUGAGUCUCUUGGUCACGGGAAGAGGCUGGGACUUGGGUAGAAUUAGGUUUGAAGACUGAUUCUUGUAACUCAAUAUCUCUUUGUAAAGAAACUCAUAUCAUUAUAGUGGAUCGGAGAGCUGCUCUCUCCCCCAGACUAGGUCAUCAUUAGACCGAAUUGGGUAAACAAAUUCUUGUGUUCAUCUUCUUCUUCCUUUUAUCUCUUGCUGUUUUACUUUUGUUUGGAUUAAUUGCUAUCCACUUGAUUUGAUUGCUUGGUAUUAAUUUGCUCCACACAUCAAGUUUAUAUUGGUGUGUUUCUCAACGAAUUCACAACACCAUGCAAAUACCUGCAGAAAGUAAGUGUUUCCCAAUGCCACUCCAGCAACAAGUCCACCGCCAUAUCCAAUCAGAACUACUGUCCAGUAUAAUUCAAUGAAAGAUUUUGAGUCGUCAUCAUCAUCAUCAGAAGUAGAAGGCCCUGCAGGAUCUAUACACUUCUUUAACAGCUGAUCCCCACCUUUGAAUGUAGAAAACUGAUUAUUUUGUGGUAUAGGACCUGUAAGAUUGUUAAAUGACACAUUUAAGUAUUCCAAAAAGGUGAUUUGUGCCAACUGUUGGGGAAUUUUCCCUGAAAGACUGUUGAGAGAAAGAUCUAGUGCUUCAAGGUUUGAAAGCUUCCCUAAGGAAGAUGGAAUGCUGCCAAUAAGCAUAUUAUUUGACAAGUUUAGCAAAACAAGACCCUUUAAUUCGCCUAUCAUUUGUGGUAUCUCUCCGCUGAUUUUGUUGCUUGAAAUAUCAAUGGCUAUCAAGCUGUAAAAUUUUUGAAGCUUCUCAUAAACCCUGGCCAGUCCUUUGUUUGACAUUGUGAAAGAAUAAAACUUUUCUUCUAACGUAUGAUAUUUUCCUGCAUAGUUCGAUCUUAAGUAAGACUCGGUACUGUAACUGACUUGCAUUGGAAGUAUUCAUUGCUUUCCAACUUUGGAUCAUUUCUGUUGGAAAACUGCCAGAGAAAUCAUUGUGAGAAAGGUCAAGAAUGUGAAGUAUGGAAAAUGUGCAUGUCAUGUUGCCAGAGCACCUAAUGUCUCCAUGGAAUUCAUUGUUACUUAAAGACAAUACCUUCAACUCGGGUAACUCUCCCAUCCAGAAUGGAAAUGAAUCAUUGAUGUUGUUAUAACUAACAUCAAAGAAUUCCAGCCUUCUAUUGUUGACCAAAGCCCUUGGCAACUGACCCUGCAGAUUGUUGUUGCUAAGAUCAAUCUGUUGAAGGGAAUUUCCUAUCAUGUAUGUUUGAGGAAUGAGGCCAGAUAAUUUAUUCCCUUUUAGAUCCAGACUUUAUAAAUAUUGGCUAAAGUUCCCUAGACAUGAAGGAACAUUGCCGCUUAAGUUGUUGAACGAUAAAUCAAGUUGUGUGAGUGAUUUGAGAUUGCAUAUGGAUGGGGAUAUUUCUCCUGUCAAUGAAUUGUGGUUAGUGAGUGUAUUUAAUGCUUGAAUUCCAAGAUGUUGUUUUUGGAUAACUGAGAGGGUAAUGUUUGUCUUUUUAAUAUUAGUGAGUGUAUUUAAUGCUUAACAUUUGUUUACGAUGCUGUAUUUGUAAAAAUAUUCAAAAAACUUACAUUAAUUAAUAAUUAUAUUGGUUAAGAUGUUUUUUGGUUUUUCUUCUUAUAAUAAGGACACGAGAGAGUAUUUAUUUGUUCCUAUUCCUUCCCAAUUGGCGUAAGCCCUUCUAUUUGAGACUCUCUUGAUAACAUUUAUAUAGAAACAUAGGACAGGAAAGUCAUAACCAUAGGAGAGAGAUGUAGACCUUAUUGAUGCACAUGAAGUAACUUUGUGUAUUAAAUGAAAAGAAUGGUAAAUCGACGUACUUGAGUUUCAUAUUUAUAGGACUCUAUGACACUCAUCAUUUGUAACUCAAAUCUGAAUUACAACUAAUUUACAACCAAUGAGGCAGGGACAUCUCUAGCAUUAGCCGUGUCGCGGUGUCCAGCACACAUCGGUGUCUGAUACUCAUACCGAUGUCCUAAAAUAGUUUUUAUUUUUUAUUUUUGCUUUGACACUUCUUUCGAGUUCUUUGCUAAUGCUCACAACCAAAUCAUCCCUUCAUUUCUUUUUUCUGUUAAAAGAAAAUUGAAUAUAGGGCACCUGAGAUAAAUAGAGUGUUGGGUUUACGUGCUCCUGAGGUUAUUAAUGUUCAAAGAAGAAGAACACUACAUGAAUUGCCACACUUUGAUGGCUGGGAUGAUCUUGUGUCUGGGUUUCAAAUCUGAAAUGCCACUCAAGAAGGUAUUUACACUACUAUCAAUCUUGUAUGAAAAUGAAGUGAUUAGUUCUGGUGAGUUAAUUGCUUCAAACUUUAAGGAAAUCGUGGAUUCCAAACAUACUACACUACACUGGGACAUAACUGUCUGAUAAAUCUGCUUUGUGAACAAGAGAAGGUUCAAGUAGAAGCAAAUGAUAUUUUUGUGAAUUCAAAGGAGCCUAUUAAAUGACAAAGCAAUGUUGGUUUAUGAAAUGUACAUGCAAGAAGGAAGGACGAAAUCAAAGGGCACAUGAGGAGAAACCUCAGAUGAUGGAGGAGGAUCCUAUUUCACAAGCUCCACAUAAUCAUCCCGCCCACCUAUUCUUGAAGAUUAUAUGUAUGUGAUGCGAUGUGAUGGAAAACUAGGCUCAGGAUGCUUCUUCUCAACUAUACAUUGACCCUCUUUACUUUUCUCAAUGAUUCACGGAGGCAGCCAACCAACACCGCUAGAGACCUCGUAGAGGAAAUGCUUAACAGAGGUUUGGGAUUGAAGAGAAUAUGAGAGCCGAUAUCCAUUAGUAGAGGGGCAAGGCAGCUGAGAGAAAAAAAACAAUUGCAGGCUGACUUUUACAUGGUCAGAGGUGAGGAUCAUGAGAAUUUGGCGCUUGCCCCACCAGAGGAUUUCAUGUAAUCUGGGCACAUUGUCUAGCCCAUUUUCGAUCUUUUAUUUUCUUUUCUAUUUUCAGUAAUUUAUUUUGAUUUUGAGUUAAAACUAGGUGUUGCAAGUGUUUAUUUGGAUUUCAGUUGUAUUCUCCUAUCUUCUGUUCUGCAAUGUUCUUAUUUAUUAUUAAUGAAUUUUCUUGUUUUUCAAAUUUACUAGUUUAGUAAAAAUCAUUUCACCAUUAGUACUUCUAAAGUUCAUAAGGAGGAAGAUCCUUGCAUUGAUAUUCAGCGUUUGGAAUGAUUAGGUGGCUACAACUUCUGGAAAAUCUUAGCUUGUGAGGUUUGAGCCAAAAAAAAAUUCAAUUUGUUUCUACUUAUACAAUUGUUCCAUGCAACUGUCAUUUUUAGAACCUUUGAACUUGCAGCCUUUGUUAAGGAAAACUUAAGCUUUAGGUUAGAUCAUUUUGGUCAGUGACAAACUGCAUAACAAGCCUAGAGACCUUAGGAGAUUUUGACCCAAUUUCGUGUUGGAGUUAGGCAAUGUUAUUUUUUUUUUCUAUGCUUAAUUUCAAGUUUAGGGUUGCAGUUAGAACUAGCAAUGUUUAUGUUUGGGGUAGGGGUAGCAGAGAACCCAAGAGAUCACAAUGUUUUUCAAUUUUUUUUAAAUAUUGGACUAAUAUGUUUAUUGCUUUGGACUCAUAUGACCCUUUUAAGCUAUAACAUAAAAACAACUCACUAAUGUCUCUUAAAAAUCUUAUUAAGAAAUAAUGUAAAUGAAACGCCAAGGUAAUCUCUACACCAUUCAAAUACCUGCGGAAAGUAAGUGUUUCCCAAUGCAAAUCCAGCAACAAGUCCACCGCCAUAUCCAAUCAGAAGAACAGUCCAGUCUAAUUCAAAGAAAGAUUCCGAGUCGUCAUCAUCAACAUCAGAAGUAGAAGGCCCUCCAUGAUCUAUACACUUCUUCAACAACUGAUCCCCAUACAAACCUUGGUUACCCUCAAAUGAAUCAUCUUUGAAUGUAGAAAACUGAUUAUUUUGUGGUAUAGGACCUGUGAGAUUGUUAAAGGACACAUUUAAGUACUCCAAAAAGGUGAUUUCUGCCAACUGUUGGGGAAUUUUUCCUGAAAGACUGUUGAGAGAAAGAUCUAGUGCUUCAAGGUUUGAAAGAUUCCCUAAGGAAGAUGGUAUGCUGCCAAUAAGGUGGUUAUUUGACAAGUUGAGUAAAACAAGUCCCUUCAACUCGCCUAUAACAUGUGGUAUCUCUCCACUGAUUUUGUUGCUUGAAAUAUCAAUGGCUAUUAAGCUGUAGAAAUUUUGAAGCUUCUCAUAAACCCUUGCAAACCCUUUGUUUGACAUUGUGAAUGUAUAAAACAUAUUUUGUGUUGUAUGAAUUGGUCCUGCACUGUUCAAUGUCGAGUAAGAUUCAUACUGUAAUUGACUUGUGUUGGUAGUUUUCAUUGUUUUCCAUCCUUGGAUCAUUUCUGAUGGAAAACUUCCAGAGAAUUCAUUGUGAGAAAGGUCAAUGAUGUGAAGCUUGGGAAAUGUGCAUGUCAUGUUGCCAGAGCACCUAAUGUCUCCAUGGAAUGCAUUGUUACUUAAAGACAAUACCUUCAACUCGGGUAAAUCUUUCACCCUGCAGAUUGUUGUUGUUGAAAUCAAUCAUCUGAAGGGAACUUCCUAUCAUGUAUGUUUGAGGAAUGAGGCCAGACAAUUUAUUCCCUUUUAGCAUUAUAUUUUCUAAAGAUUGGCUAAAGUUACCCAGACAUGAAGGAAUGUUGCCGCUUAAGUUGUUGAUCGAUAAAUCAAGAGUCACGAGUGAUUUGAGAUUGCAUAUGGAUGGGGGUAUUUCUCCUGUCAAUGAAUUGUGGGAAACAAGUAAGCUUAUUAGACUUGCUUUUUUCCACAACCAAUUGGGCAGCAAUGUCAUAUUGUUGUUUGACAACAUAAGAAAUUCCAGAUCAGGCAUGUCUCUUAUAAAUGUUGGAAUCUCAACUAAAUUGCAUGAAGCCAAUUGUAAGACUCGAAUUUGAGAAUCGGUCCUAUGGGAAGAACUUUUUCCACUAUACAAUGACAAUUUGUUGAAUGAUAAAUCUAGAAAAACUAGCUUUUUGAGGUUCAGAAAUGUGUCAAGCUCUAGCUUUCCAUGCAAAAAAUUAGAGCGUAGGCUCAAGUAAGCUAAAUUUGCUAGAUUCAUUAUCCAUGAUGGAAUUUCACCCUUUAUAUUGCUAUUUGUUGCACCUAGAAGUUCUAGUUGGGUGAGAUUUGCAAAAGAUAAUGGGAUGUCACUGCCAAUAUUGACUGAGGAUAUAUCCAAGGAAGUUAAUGAUGAGAGCUUACCGACCCAUGAGAUGGUCUCAAUAGUAAAUUCAUUCCAAGCAACACUCAACAUGCUUAGUUGGGUAAUAUUUGCCAAGGAUGCAGAAGGGUCACCCCUAAAUUUGUUAUUAUCAAGGUAUAUCCCCCUGAGUUGUGUGAGGUUGCCAAGUGAAGUAGGAAUAUUUCCAAAAAAAUGGCAUUCUGGAAUUGAUAGAAUAACUAAAGAAUUAAGCUUUCCAAUGGAUACUGGCAGUGCACCAGAGAAACCUGUAUGAUCAAGUGCUAACCUGGUGAGUGAACUAGACUGAAACUCAGGCAAACUACCAUUGAGAUUUGGAUUAUAUCUCAAAUCCAGAAGUUCCAAGUUUGGAAGAUGAAAUACUCCAACUGGAAACUCUCCAUACAAUUCAGAAUUGUAUAGAGACAGUGCUUUCAACGAAGUUAGAUUUGUGAGUGUAUCUGGUAAAGUAGAUGAAAUUGUUACAUGACUAAGAUGAAGGGUCUCAAGUUUUGUUGAGUUUUGAAUUAUGCUUUUGAGACUGGAUAAUUUGAGUUGCAGCAGAUUGUCUGUAGCUCUGAAGCCUAGAUCAAGAGACAACAACUUGGACAACUGUGAAACUUGUGGUGGAAUUUCUCCAGAAAAGAAGCUCAGGGAAAGGUUCAGAUGUUUUAAUUGUGAAAGCUCACCUAUCUUGGAUGGGAUUUGAGAGUAAUUGAAGUCAUUGUCAGAAAGAUCAAGAACUCGAAGGUGCACAAGGCGAAAGAGACUGCUAUUUGCAUCCAUUGUACCAUAGAGUUGGCUGCUACUAAGAUCAAUGUGAAUCACAUGGUCUGUGUGCUCAUGACAUUUAAUGCCAUCCCAUGAGCAACAAUCUGUGCUGGAAUUCCAAGAUGAUGUUUUAGGAUAACCAAGAAGAUCAUCAGAGGCUAAGUUAUUGAUGACAAAGCCUUCCUUAAAUUGCAACAAGGCAUGGCUUUCAUAUUGAUGACACUUUGGCUGAAUUUGAGGAAAACAUGUAGUAAAUGUGAAAGUGAAAAGUGAAUACAGGAAAAGAAAUUUUAGUAACAAAGCAAGAGACCUGACAAACACCAUUGUAUAUUUUAAUAUUUUGAACUGAAUGUUUUGGAUGAAAUGCUAGACACAUAGUAAGUGAUUCUUAUAGUAAAUGAAAAUGUUUUGUAGUGAAUUUGAUUAUCAUUGACCGUGCAUUUUGGUUUAGGACUAACAUCAUAAGUCUAUAUCUUGGCUCAGCCCAUUGGAGAGGCUAACUUGAUCAACUCCAAAAAUACAAGACUUUGAUGUAACAUAAUAUAAUCUCUAAUCAAAUUAUGUGGGCCAAUCCAAUACACAAGGUCUAUUUGAUGUUUUAUCAUGUAGUGAGGCUUUCUUAUCUUCCACAAAUUUCAUUUUCUGUCCAUUUAUGGUUUUUGCCUUCUAAUUUCAGUACAUUUGUCUCGAUUGUUUGACUCAGCAAUUUCCUCUAAGUUUCUUGCUACUUGCAUCUUUGGAAAACAAUUUAAUAUUUAGACUUAGUCAAUUGUUCCAGUGGAAUUUUAUUAUCUCAACAUUUUAUUAUUUGGUUGUAUGCAUAGAACUUUAAUCUAGAACUGAGUAUCCAUUUAAGAGCUUGCACAAAAAUAUUGAAUAUAAUUUUAAAAAGUUAAGCAUGCGUAAUUGAAAAAACUUCAGUUUUAUAUAAUAUGUUCAGUAGUAAAAACUUCAGUUUUAUCUUGAUCUUGUCAAAAUGCAGUUUUAUCUGUCAUUGUUUAGAAUCAUCCAUUAAAAUUAUAUAAUAAAAAAAUUUGUACAGUCCUAAUGUAUACUUUUGAAAUUUAACAAGUCUUUUCUUUAUGUUAAGGUCAGUCUUCUAGAAGUACAGGUUAAGGUCAUAUAACAACACUUAAAUCAAAAAUAAGAAAAAUAAUAUAGUUGUAGCAUAUUACACUGACUUGGAUAAUAAUAACAACAAAUUUACCAACCUGAGAAACACAAUCUACAAGGUCUAAAGAAGCAUACAAAUUGAAAGAGGAAAAACACAGUUUAUCUAACUAUGUAUUAACCUAACAUAUCACACAACUGAGAUGCAUAUCAUAGCUGAUCAAUGUCCUCACAGACAGCAAGUUCCUCAUGACCAUAUGGAUAGCUGUUUAAAAUAAGUCAACCAUUAGUAAAAGAAGUGUCAAAAAGCAGUAUAUUGAUUUUAUUUUUCUUUUUUUAAAAAUAUAUAGCUGAAAGAUUAGAGCUUACAACAAACCGAAGUUGGAGUACAAUUUCCUACGGUCAUCUUCGGUAAGCUCAGUACCAAUGCUGCACAAAGCGGAAACCAUGAGAUGCUAGUUAUGUGGAUGUCCAGAUAAACAAAAAGAUUAUACAAAGACUGGUUAGUAAUUUUUACCUAGUUAUGGUAAUAUUAACAGCCCUUCAAUCAGCCUCAAAAGCUAGAAUGUCGGACAUUAUCUCAGCAGUAGCACCACCAAGUUUCUGUUUGUGAAUAAAAUUUAAGUUGAUGAAAUUCGGGUUAGAUGAUUUACCUCUGAUGUAAUGCACUCAGAGAAGUAUGGAGCCAGAGGAGUGUCAACAAGAACCAGCCUGUAAAGCUCCCGCAUAUUCUGAGCAACUGCCAGAGUUGCAAUGCUGAGGAGAAUCCCACCGAAAAGAAGAAAAAACAGAAGUAAAAUCAAUAUUCUAUGUGCCGUAACUAAGGUCUCUUUCUAGGCUAAAAAAAGUUCAAUAUAUAUAGGCUCAAAGUCUUUCUAGUUUGGUAAUAGAGAAAAAAAAGAUAUGUAGUUUGAUGAAUGUCUCUUUCUUUGCAUUCCCCUCAAUCACAAUGCUUUCAAACAUCCGUAACUAAGGUUGACUUCAGCCCUGGUGUUAGGAACAAGUACUUGAGCUUUGAAAUCAACUUUUAUUGGAUUGCUUCUUCAAAAAAAAAACUUUUAAUGGAUUGGAAGAACUAAAAAGAAACUGAUGCAAUUCAAAAGGUAAAACGAAUUUCAAAAUCAGCAUUACAAAAAGUCAUCAUAAUGUAUAUACCUAGGACUCAGUAGAAAUUUAAAAAUUGAUUGAAUUUUUGAAAUAAUUAAAAGACUAGACUUGUGGGUUGUCUCCCAAGAAACGCGUGUUUAACAUCUCGAGCUUGACGAACCAACACUCUUGUCAGGGUGGAUAUUUAAACAUGUAAUCAACAAUGCUAUUCUUUUUCUUCUUUGUGAGAAGAAUGUUGAUACACUUUGCAUAAGGUAUUAGUCUCACUUGUUCAAAGUUUAUGAACCUUUUCCACCUAUUUUUCCAUUCGUUCUUUCUCUUCUAUGGUGUUUUGUUUUAAGAGAUGUGAUUGAUGCUUGUCCACACCUUAUCUUUCUCCAAAUGAUAGAAUUCACCGGUCACCUCAAUCUGAAUCCAGCCCUUGUCAGUUGUUUUUUAUCACCGAGAAUCAUCAUCAUUGAAUUGCAUUGUGUCGAACACAUUGUUGGAUACUUGCUCAUCAAAUUCCGCUUUUGCUUUCAAAUUCAACUAGUUUUGAUUGUAAACCUAAAGAGAUCAAUCUACUUUGUUUGAUUUCUCAUCACUAUCAGAUUCAAACCAGGUAGCCAUUUACCUAUUUUUCUUCUUCUCAUGUUCAUGCACCAAAGAUUAAUUUUUUAUUUUAAUGGUUAUUUACUACUUUAUUCAAAGGUAUAUAAGUUGCUAAAUUGUAUUUUGUUUCACAUUGCAGUUGAUUAUAACUAAACAUUUGUAUUCUUGGUAUCUGAAAAGCAGAUUCAUCUUUGUCUGUAUUAGUUAUCCAUUAUUGCAUUUGUUUGUCACUUAAGUUGUUUUUUUUUGCUCUAAAGUCAACUUCCAUAAAAAAUGCUUCAUUUUGCUACCAUAGUAUACAUCAUAUAAUCACUUUUUUUUUUCUGCAAUGCCACCAGCCCAAAGACCUAACAGGUCACAUUUUUCCGCAUCACCAAAACUACUUUAUUUCAUACCAACAACAAUUAGUAUACAUACAAAGCAUACUCUUAGGCUUUGUUUGCGAGUUUUGAGGGGAAGGAAAGGAAAGGCUAAGGAGGGGAAGGGAAGGAAAGGGAGGGAAGGGAGAAAGGAGGGAAAACCUUCCCCUUGUUUGGGAGUUAAAAAGCCAACAAGGAAAGGAGAUGGAGGACUUAUGUUAUAAUUUUACUAUUUUACCCUUUUUCCUCUUAAAAUCAAUAUAUUGUUAUACUUCGUAAUUUAACUUUUAAUUUAUUCAAAACAACUUAUCGCAUGAAAAACAAAUUAUUAAGAUCUAUUUUAAAAAACAACUUAUUUAUAAAAAAAAAAAAAAAAAAAAAAAACUUAUUACAAUCACUUUUUAAAAACAACUUACUUAUACAAAACAACUUAUUACGACCUCUUUUUAAAAAUAGCUUAUCUUAUGAAAAACAAAUUAUUAAGAUCUUUUUUUAAAAAACAACUUAUUCAAAAUAGCUAAUUUAUACAAAACAGCUUAUUAUGACCUCUUUUCAGAAAAACAGCUUAUUCAAAACAGCUUAAUACAAUCUCUUAUUCAAAAACAACUUAUCCAAAAUAGUUUAUCUAUAUAAAACAGCUUAUUACGACCUCUUUUCAAAAAACAACUUGUUCAAAACAGCUUAUUUAUACAAAACAACUUAUUCAAAACAGCUUAAUACGAUCUCUUUUUCAAAAACAGCUUAUUCAAAACAGCUUAUUUAUACAAAAUAGCUUAUUACGACCUCAUUUUCAAAAACCGCUUAUUCAAAACAACUUAUUUAUACAAAACAGCUUAUUACGACAUCAUUUUCAAAAACAGCUUAUUCAAAACAGCUUAUUUAUACAAAACAGCUUAUUAUGACCUCAUUUUUAAAAAUCGCUUAUUCAAAACAACUUAUUUAUACAAAACAGCUUAAUAUGACCUCAUUUUCAAAAACAGCUUAUUCAAAACAACUUAUUAUGCAAAACAGCUUAAUACAAUCUCUUUUACUAAAACAGCUUAUUCAAAAUAGCUUAUUUAUAUAAAACAGCUUAUUACGACCUCAUUUUCAAAAACCGCUUAUUCAAAACAACUUAUUUAUACAAAACAGCUUAUUACGACCUCUUUUUCAAAAACAGCUUAUUUAUACAAAACAGCUUAAUAUGAUCUCUUUUUCAAAAACAGCUUAUUCAAAACAGCUUAUUUGUACAAAAUAGCUUAAUACGACAUCAUUUUCAAAAACCGCUUAUUCAAAACAACUUAUUUAUACAAAACAUCUUAAUAUGACUUCAUUUUACAAAAUAGCUUAUUCAAAACAACUUAUUUAUGCAAAACAGCUUAAUACGACCUCAUUUUCAAAAACGGCUUAUUCAAAACAGCUUAUUUAUGCAAAACAGCUUAAUACGAUCUCUUUUUCAAAAACAGCUUAUUUAUACAAAACAGCUUAUUACGACCUCAAUUUCAAAAAUCGCUUCUUUAAAACAAUUUAUUUAUACAAAACAGCUUAAUACGACAUCAUUUUCAAAAAUCGCUUAUUCGAAACAACUUAUUUAUACAAAACAGCUUAUUACGACCUCAUUUUCAAAAAUCGCUUAUUCAAAACAACUUAUUUAUACAAAACUGUUUAUAACGACCUCAUUUCAAAAACCUCUUAUUCAAAACAAUUUAUUUAUGCAAAACAACUUAUUAUGUCCUCUUUUCAAAAAAUAACUUAUUCAAAACAGCUUAUUUAUGCAAAACCGCUUAUUACGAUCUCUUUUUUAAAAACAACUUAUUCAAAAAAACUUAUUUAUGCAAAACAACUUAUUAUGAUCUCUUUUUCAAAAACAACUUAUUCAAAACAACUUAUUUAUUCAAAACUUUUUUUGUAAAAAUAAGUUAUUUUGAAUAAGCUGUUUUUUGAAAAGAUGUCGUAAUAAGUUGUUUUGCAUUAAUAAGUUGUUUUGAAUAAGCUGUUUUUUGAAAAUAGGUGAUAAUAAGCUGUUUUGGAUAAGUAAGCUGUUUAGAAUAAGUUGUUUUUGAAAUAUAGAUUGUAUUAAGCGAUUUUUGACUAAGCAGAUUUUGAAAAUGAGGUCAUAAUAAGCAGUUUUGUAUAAAUAAGUUGUUUUGAAUAAGCGGAGUUUGAAAAUGAGGUCGUAAUAAGCUGUUUUUAUAUAAAUAAGCUGUUUUGAAUAAGCUGUUUUUGAAAGAAAAAAAAUCGUAUUAAGCUGUUUUGCAUAAAUAAGUUGUUUUGAAUAAGCUAUUUUUUAAAAUGAAGUCAUAUUAAGCUGUUUUGUAUAAAUAAGUUGUUUUAAAUAAGCGAUUUUUGAAAUUGAGGUCGUAAUAAGCUGUUUUGUAUAAAUAAGCUGUUUUUGAAAAAGAGAUCGUAUUAAGCUGUUUUGCAUAAAUAAGCUGUUUUGAAUAAGCCGUUUUUGAAAAUGAGGUCGUAUUAAGCUGUUUUGCAUAAAUAAGCUGUUUUGAAUAAGCUAUUUUUUAAAAUGAAGUGAUAUUAAGCUGUUUUGUAUAAAUAAGUUGUUUUAAAGAAGCGAUUUUUGAAAUUGAGGUCGUAAUAAGUUGUUUUGUAUAAAUAAGCUGUUUUUGAAAAAGAGAUCGUAUUAAGCUGUUUUGCAUAAAUAAGCCGUUUUUGAAAAUGAGGUCGUAUUAAGUUGUUUUGCAUAAAUAAGUUGUUUUGAAUAAGCUAUUUUUUAAAAUGAAGUCAUAUUAAGCUGUUUUUUAUAUAAAUAAGUUGUUUUAAAUAAGCGAUUUUUGAAAUUGAGGUCGUAAUAAGCUGUUUUGUAUAAAUAAGCUGUUUUUGAAAAAGAGAUCGUAUUAAGCUGUUUUGCAUAAAUAAGCUGUUUUGAAUAAGCUGUUUUUCGAAAAAGAGAUCGUAUUAAGCUGUUUUGCAUAAAUAAGCUGUUUUGAAUAAGCUGUAUUUGAAAAUGAGGUCUAUUAAGGUGUUUUGCAUAAAUAAGCUGUUUUUGUAAAUGAGGUCGUAAUAAGCUGUUUUGUAUAAAUAAGUUGUUUUGAAUAAUCUGUUUUUGAAAAAGAUAUCGUAUUAAGCUGUUUUGCAUAAAUAAGUUGUUUUGAAUAUGUUGUUUUUAAAAAAAAUAUAUCGUAAUAAGCUGUUUUGUAUAAAUAAGCUGUUUUGAAUAAGCUGUUUUUGAAAAAGAGAUCGUAUUAAGCUGUUUUGCGUAAAUAAGCUGUUUUUGAAAAAGAGAUCGUAUUAAGCUGUUUUGCGUAAAUAAGCUGUUUUUGGAAAAGAGGUCGUAAUAAGCUGUUUUGUAUAAAUAAGAUGUUUCGAAUAAGCGGUUUUUGAAAAUGAGGUCGUAAUAAGCUUUUUAUAUAAAUAAGCAGUUUUGAAUAAGCUGUUUUUGAAAAAGAGAUCGUAUUAAGAUGUUUUGCAUAAAUAAGUUGUUUUGAAUAAGCUGUUUUUGAAAAUGAGGUCCUAUUAAGCUGUUUUGUAUAAAUAAGUUGUUUUCAAUAAGCUGUUUUUGAAAAUGAGGUCGUAAUAAGUUGUUUUGCAUAAAUAAGUUGUUUUGAAUAAGCUGUUUUUGAAAAUGAGGUCCUAUUAAGCUGUUUUGUAUAAAUAAGUUGUUUUGAAUAAGUUGUUUUUAAAAAAGAUUGUAAUAAUUUUAGUAAGGUCUAAAAUUGGAAUUUUGAAUUAUUAAGAGGGCAAAAUUGUCAAUUAGUAUGUUUAACCCCCCAAAACCCUCCAAUUUGGGGGAACUUUAAAAUUGGACAAAUUAAACCCUUCAAAACCCCCCAAAACCUUUCCCUUGUUUUUUUAAAACUUGCAAACAAGGGUUACCACUCCAUAAGCCUUUCCUUCCCUUCCCCUCCCCUUCAAAAUUCAACUCCCAAACAAAGCCUUACUAAAGGAAAGCACAACAACAACAAAAACACAAGGAAUUUCAACUCAUAAGAUCCUUUUUUUUAAGCCAACUAAGUACUUGCAGAAAGAAAGUGCUUCCCACUGCCAUUCCAGCAACAAGACCACCUCCAUACCCAAUAAGCACUAUUUUCCAAUCAAAUUCAAACAAUGAUCCUGAAUCCUCGUCAUCAUCAUCGUCAUCAGAGGUAGAAGGACCUCCAUGAUCUAUACACUUCUUCAACAACUGAUCCCCACACAGACCUUGAUUACCCUCAAAUGAAUCACCUUUGAACGUAGAAAACUGAUUAUUUUGUGGUAUAGGACCUGUGAGAUUGUUAAAGGACAAAUUUAAGAACUGCAAAAAGGUAAUUUGUGCCAACUGUUGGGGAAUUUUCCCUGAAAGACUGUUGACAGAAAGAUCUAGUGCUUCAAGGUUUGAAAGCUUCCCUAAGGAAGAUUGAAUGCUGCCAAUAAGGAGGUUAUUAGAGAAGUUGAGCAAAACAAGGCCCUUCAACUCGCCUAUGCCUUGUGGUAUUUCUCCACUGAUUUUGUUGCUUGAAAUAUCAAUGGCUAUUAAGUUGUAAAUUUUUUGAAGGUUAUUGUAAACCAUGGCCACCCCUUUGUUUGACAUUGUGAGCGAAUAAAACUUUUCUGUUGACGUAAAAUAUUGUCCUUCAUUGUUCGACGUCGAGUAAGACUCGUACUGUAAUUGACUUGCGUUGAAAGUAUUCAUUGCUUUCCAACUUUGGAUCAUUUCUGUUGGAAAACUUCCAGAGAACUGAUUGUGAGAAAGGUCAAUGAUGUGAAGUUUGGAAAAUGUGCAUGUCAUGUUGCCAGAGCACCUAACGUCUCCAUGGAAUUCAUUGUUACCUAAAGACAAUACCUUCAACUCAGGUAAAUCUCCCAGCCAGAAUGGAAAUGAAUCAUUGAUAUUAUUGUAGCUAACAUCAAAGAAUUCUAGAAUUCUGCUGUUUACCUUUUAGAUCCAGACUUUCUAAAGGUUGGCUAAAGUUCCCUAGACAUGAAGGAAUGUUGCCACCUAAGUUGUUGAACGUGAAAUCAAGCAUCACGAGUGAUUUGAGAUUGCAUAUGGAUGGGGAUAUUUCUCCUGUCAAUGAACUAUGGGAAACAUCUAAGCUUUUUAGCCUUGCUUUUUUCCACAACCAUUCAGGUAGCGAUGUUAUAUUGUUGUUUGACAACGUAAGAAAUUCCAUCUCAGCCAAAUCUCUUAUAAAUGUUGGAAUCUCAACUAAAUUGCAUUCAGCCAACUGUAAUAUUUGAAGUCCAGAAUUUGUUAAAUGGGAUGAAUUGUUUCCACUUAACAAUGACAGUUUGUUAAAUGAUAAAUCUAAAAAAACUAGCUUUUUGAGAUUCAGAAACGUGUCAAGCUCAAGCUUUCCAUGCAGAAAAUUAGAGUGUAGGUUCAAGUAAGCUAAAUUGGUUAGAUUCAUUAACCAAGAUGGAAUUUGACCCUUUAUAUAGCUAUUUGUUGCACUUAAUACUUCUAGUUGCGUGAGAUUUGCGAAAGAUAAUGGGAUAUAUCCAAGGCAAAUAAUGAUGAAAGCUUAUCUACCCAUGAGAAGGUUUCAAUAGUAAAUUCAUUGAAACCAACAUUCAAGAGGCUUAGCUUGGUAAGAUUUGCCAAGGAUGCAGAAGGGUCACCCCUAAAUUUGUUAUUUUUGAGGCUUAUCUGCUCAAGUUGUGUGAGGUUUCCAAGCGAAGAAGGAAUAAAUCCAAAGAAACGGCAAUCUGGAAUUCCUAGGACAAUUAAAGAACUAACCUUUCCAAUGGAUACUGGUAGUGUACCAGAGAAACCUGUCCCACCAAGUGCUAAUUCAGUGAGUGAACUAGACUCAAACUCAGGCAAUCUACCAUUGAGAUUUGGAUUAUAUCUCAAAUCUAGAAGUUCCAAGUUUGGAAGAUGAAAUACUCCAACUGGAAAUGCACCAUACAAUUCAGAAUUGUAAAGAGAUAGUUUUUUUAUGAAGUUAGAUUCGUGAGUGUGUCUGGUAAAGUAGAUGAAAUAGUUACAAAACUAAGAAAAAGGAUCUCAAUUUUUGUUGAGUUUUGAAUUAUGCUUCUGAGACUAGACAAUUUGAGUUGCAACAAAUUGGAUGUACUACCUUUAGGACGUACUAUAGCUCUGAAACCUAGAUCAAGAGACAACAACUUGGACAACUGGGAAACUUGUCGUGGAAUUUCUCCAGAAAAUAAGUUAAGAGAAAGGUUCAAAAAUUUUAGUUGUGAAAGCUCACCUAUCUUGGUAGGGAUUUUAGAGUAAUUGAAGUUAUUAUCAGAUAGAUCAAGAACUCGAAGGUGCACAAGGCGAAAGAGACUGCUAUUUGCAUCCAUUGUACCAUAGAGUUGGCUGCUACUAAGAUUGAUGUGAAUCACAUGAUCUGUGUGCUUAUGACAUUUAAUGCCAUCCCAUGAGCAGCAAUCUGUGCUGGAAUUCCAAGAUGAUGUUUUAGGAUAACCAAGAAGAUCAUCAGAGGCUAAGUUAUUGAUGACAAAGCCUUCCUUAAAUUGCAACAAGGCAUGGCUUUCAUAUUGAUGACAUUUUGGCUGAAUUUGAGGUAAACAUGUAGUAAAUGUGAAAGAGAGAAGUGAAUAAGGAAAAAAAAAAUUACAAACAAAACAUGAGACCACACAAACACCAUUGUAUUUGAAUAUUUUGAAAUUGGUCUUUUGGAUGAAAUGCUAGACACAAACAUGUUUUGAAUACUAUAGGAAUGGACUGCAUAUAACAAAUGAAAAUGAUUUCUAGUGAACUUGAUUAUCAUUGACCAAAAAAAACUUUGUUUUCUAUUUUCUAGACAUUUGGCUAUUAUUUGACUCAGCAAUUUGCUCUGAUUUUCUUGCUACUUGCAUUCUUGGAAAACAAUUUAAUUGACUUCAAUCUAGAACUGACUGUCCAUGUAAGAGCUUGCACAAAUUUAUUGAAAAUUUAUAUCAAAGCACGCUCUUUCAAACAACCUUUAUUGCUUUUACAUACAUAGGAAACUCUUACAGAAUGCAAUUACAAGAACAGAAGGAAACUAAAACAAAUUAGAAACAUAAAUAGGGAGGACUAGUAUGUUUAUUGUUUUGGACUCACAACACCCUUUUAAGCCAUAAAAUAAUAACAACUUUAAUGUCUCUUAAAAAUCUUAUUAAGGAAAAUUAUAACUGAAACGCUAACGUGAUCUCUAUACCAUGCAAAUACCUGCAGAAAGUAACUGUUUCCCAAUGCCACUCCAGCAACAAGACCUCCUCCAUACCCAAUAAGCACUAUUUUCCAAUCAAUUUCAAAGAAAGAUCCCGAGUCAUUGUCAUUAUUAGAGGUAGAAGGUCUUGCAUGAUCUUUACACUUCUUCAACAGCUGAUCCCCACACAAUCCUUGGUUACCCUCAAAUGAAUCACUUUUGAAUGUAGAAAACUGAUUAUUUUGUGGUAUAGGACCUGUGAGAUUGUUAAAGGACACAUUUAAGAACGCCAAAAAGGUGAUUUCUGCCAACUGUUGGGGAAUUUUUCCUGAAAGACUGUUGCGAGAAAGAUCUAGUGCUUCAAGGUUCGAAAGCUUCCCUAAGGAAGAUGGAAUGCUGCCAAUAAGGUGGUUAUUUGACAAGUUGAGCAAAACAAGACCCUUCAACUCGCCAAUCACUUGU